This 67092-nucleotide long non-coding RNA is filed under the name Hordeum vulgare. RNAcentral describes it as "long non-coding RNA (HVUL_LNC000964)". The record is from RNAcentral. Lineage: Eukaryota; Viridiplantae; Streptophyta; Magnoliopsida; Poales; Poaceae.
CUCGCUCACCCAAUCGACUCCUUGUAGUAUCAGGGGAGCUUGAGGACCCCUUCUUCCUCAGUUCCGUUCGCCCGAUCCACCUCGGGUGCGAAGGGGAAUCCUUCGUGAGUAGCCCGUCUCCCUCUCCCAAACUCCGUCAUUGACACCCUAGAGCUCCGUCUCACCUGACCCGCUUGUCAAUUUGAUGUUUGUAGGCCCCUCUAGUGAGCUCCGACGACACCUGAAGCCUCCACCAGAGUAGGAGUUGCCAUCAGCAUGGUACUUGCUAGUGACCAACUCGACCACCCACCAACGCGGAAGGACGCCACGAACACGACUACACCAUCUCCUCCGCAUGGCUCACCGUUGACCACUGUCGGUAACCACCGCACCCUCUAUGUCCCACCACAAAAUGCAUAGCUGAAUUGUGCGGCCGAUCCGUCAGGGUUUUAUUCUUUUGUGUCUAUUAGAGAAAGUGUAUUUCUCCAUAGUGCGCUUUCUCUAUUAGAAGAUGGAGCGUACCGAACCGUUUUCUCUUUUAUCUAUUAAGCCCGUGGAAACAGUUUUGUUUAUUACAAAGAUUUCCCUCAUCUUGUAUCCUUUAUUAAUUUUUAACCACAAAAUUUUUUCCAGUGAUUCUUUUUUAGUCUAGUUUCUUAUAGUAUUUAUUUGAAUCUUUUUGGGAAAACUCUUUCCACGAACAUAAAAUUUAUGUAGAUACCUCGCUUUUAUUAGAGAAGUAAGGGGGAAACGCUGCCGGAGAUAUUGCGGGAUCAUGUUCUGACUAUGUUGUUCCACGCAAGCAUGUUUGAACCUUUGAGAUGGUGUUUUAUCAUAUGUUUGCUUAAGAACAUUCGGUAUCAUGUAGAGCAAUGGUCAUAACAAUAUGGUUAAUUAUGUUUCAUGCAUGGAUAUUUUCAUGAAAUAUAAAACCUUGAGUAGGUUACAUGAAGUAAUUUGAUGAACGCACCAUGUUGUGACGUGAAAGGUUUUGUCCUCGUCAUGUUGGAGCAUGCUAGUACGUUGAUAAGUUAAUCACCUCUGUGUUGGCAUAGAUCGAGUCUUGUCCUCGUAAUACCUAACAUUUUUAGUGCUUCCACUUGUUUUCUGCAAGGGAGUACAGUUUAGUAAGUCGAAAACCCAUUUCCAUGUACACACCAAAUAGAGGGGGUGUGCUGAGGGUUCCAUUGGCCUGGUAUAAUGGCUGUCAAGGGGCAUGGGUGUUUUCGGUUGAGGCCGAGAGGGGUACAUGUAACAGCCCAAGUGCAAUCCCUAUAACAAUAGCAUGAUGAACCUUGUAUGCCAAGACAAACUUGCUUUCACUUAAUAAGAUUUGAUGACUUCACAUUCACUUGCAUCAUAUCAUCAUACCAUCAUGGCAUUAAUUUUAUUUUAUUAUCCUUGUCGCUUAUGUUGUGUUGGAAUGGAUUGAUGUUUUGAUGAUGUGCUUGCAUCAAGUGGUAUGUUGUUGUGUGAACUCUCCCCUUCAAACUCCUUGAAAAUAACUCCCUCUCUCUUUUAAUUCAAUUAUGCAAUGUGGUGGUUUUCUACCUUGCCAUCACCUUCUUUAAUAAUGUUGCCAUGCUUGUAAAUAUUAUGAAUAGAUUUUUAAAACUAAGAUUGACAUUGUGCACCUCUACUCAUUUUGUAAAAAAACAAUGCCUUGCUAGAUUUCAUUAAGGUAAAUUUCCUUUUUGUUUCUUAAAAUGUCCAUUGUGUUUUAUAAAACACUUCAUGUUAUUGUGAGCCAUUGUAUAUUUUUACUUCACUCUAAAACCCUCCCCUUUUCUCUGGUUAUUUUGUUGCUCAAAAUGUUUUCAAUACAUAGAAAGCUUUCUGUUUAGGGACCGAGGCAAAGCAGACCAGUAGAGCAGCAACAGCCCACCAGCCAGCGCCAGUAGCCCAGCUCGCGUGCAGCCCUGCAGCAAGCCUCACGCGUGCAUGCGCCAUUCCACGUGGACGCCGUGAAUGGACCCACCUGCCAGUGACCAAAGCCAUCACUUUCACUAUGACAGCCCGAUGCCGACGUUCCAGAAGAUUCCCUUUCCUUUCCGUUUUCGUCGUGUGUCUAUUUUUUUCUUUUGUCGCAUCAUCAUCGCAUCAUGCGCAUCAUCUGCAUUGCAUCGGCAUCUCCGUUGCCGCUAGUUUUCAAACUUGCAUCCGCUAGUAGUUGCCGGUUCUCGUCGUUGUCCGUUCUGAGUCCGACCGCACAUGUAUGCGCCCGCGGCAUCGUCGUAACCCUAUUUUCGAAAGUGUGGUUAAACUUUCUCUGAUCGGGGAGCAACUUGGCAUGCGGUCGAAAUUUGUUUUAGUUAGGCCGCUUGUCAAGUUUCGUCGCAAUCGGAGUCCGUCUGGUACCCGAACGGUCGACCGUAGCGGCACCGUAUUUGGUCUAUCGUCGGACGUUUUCUGGUAUUUUAAAUCUCGUUGUUGGGCUGCCCGUUUUUCCUCUCAUCUCCGCCUAGCCCCUCUGCACAGUGCACCGACCCUACACGCAACCUAGUCCGAAAACCUACCGGAACCGGAAUCAUGUGUUCGUGACCGUUGGGUCCGGAUCGACCCCGGUUUACCGCAAACCGUCAUCGGUUUGUCCAUUGGAUCCCUAACCUAUUUAACUACGACUCUUCAAUUACGAUCGGAGGGUCCUGAACUAUUUUCUUUUCCUAUACUUUUGGACCAACCCUAGCCUAGGCAGACAACCCUCCUUGUUUUCCUCCCCGCGCCGCCAACCGUGUAUCCAAUUUCGUGCCCAACCAAUUCCCCUCCACCUCUGGAACCCCUCCCGAUCCAAAUCCAUCCAACAAGAGCCCCAGCCGACCACCGUAGCCAGCAGCCCGUUGGCCACCUUGCGCUGCAGUCCUUGGAUGUGUCCGGUGACCAGUGCCCGCAGCUCCUUCUUCGCGUGCUCCUGACACACCGCCCGUCAUCGCCAGUAGGCCAGGACCCCGUGUCGCCGGUGCCGAGCAGGAACCGACAAAUCUUGCAGCCACCAAGACCUGCCGUGGAUGAUCCUCGAGUGCCUCAAAUCGGGAGCUCGAGUCGCCCUUCUCGGAUCCGCGCCACCGCCGGAUGAGCAGACAAACUGCCCCACCAUGGUGCUCGUGAGGAGCUCGCGCCACCGCCAGGGACGCCUCGUCUGGCCAGCACCUCGCCGGAGGUCGGAACCGGCGGCCCCGCACCGCUAGGAGCCACUCAAGGCCGAGCCUCUCCCGUCCCCAUCUCCUUCCUCUCCUUCCCCAUUUCUUCUUCUGCUCUCCCUCUCUCUCAUGCUCCCCCUUUCUCUGUUUCUCUGAACAACAGCUGCAGGAGCCCCAUGGCUGCCGUCUCGUCACCGUUGGACCCCGAGCCGCCGGAAGCUUCUCCAUCCCCGGGAACACUUGAUGACUACUGUAAAAUCGAGCCCGUGCGAUCCUGUCCACGAAAAUAUCGAAUGGAAAUCUUUCUCAUGAGUUUGUUCUAGCUUGUUUCAUAAGACACACCCUUCGUUUUGUUGGAAUGUGGUAAUUCAAGUUGCUUUGAUGUCAAGUGGUGAUUUCAUAUCUUUCCUAAGAGGUGUUGUCAUAUUUUUAUGUGAGAAUGCAAAUUCUUUUGUUCGUUCAAUUGUCAUGUCAAUUCUUGUCAACCGGAGUCGUCAUGUUAAUUCUUUUCCAACCGGUGUGUUUCUCUUCAAGUGAAUUCCAUCCUCUCCUAUUUUGCAAGAUCAUUCUCUCAUUUUUAUUCCGGAGUUCAUCUCAUCUAGCCCAAGUUGUCUUUGUUUUCCCCACCCUCCCGCCCUUUUUCUCAGUGAUUCAAUUUUCAUCCAAGAGUUCUCUUUUCAUUCUUGCUCCCUCUAUCAUUUCUUUUCUCUCUUACCCGGUGAUUCGUUUUGAAGAUUCUCAGGAGCUUCAUGUUCAUCUUUAUUCAUUCUUGUCGUCCUUACAGGCGAAUUUAAUUUAACUAUCCGUGUCUUCAUAUGCUUGUCAUCUUUGUAAUUCUUUCCUAUGUUGGGAUUUUUUAUCAGUCUAUCUUCUUGUUGUCAUUUCUCUCUAUCCCAUCCGGAGUGCUGAAGUUAUCUCAGAAAUUCGUGUUUUCAAUCCUUCAGUUAUUUCGAGGUGCUAACCUCAUCUAGUUUAUUAUACCGGUGCAUUAUCUCUCUUUCUUGCAAUCUGUUAUAACAGUGAUUUCUUUGAGUGGGCCCAUAACCCACAGGUUGUUUCCCAGGAUCUUUCGUAGCUCUUUUAAUCUUUUUCCGGAGAUCUUUAAUUCUUUUCAACUAUGACGUAAGUAUGAUUUUCAUUAGUCAUAUUCCUUCUUCAUGAUCAAUUUGAAUUUAUUCUCAUAUUUGGCUCAACCUUGCAUUCUUCUUUAUUCCGGACUGUCUCAGUUAUUCUUGGUGUUGUUCCUCGUCAUCAUUCUCACCUUGCAAUUCAAAGGAGUGUUUCUCUCAGUCUUUUUCCAUUCUUGUGAACAUUGUCAUCUCAGCUUCGUGUUAUCCUCUCAUUUGUUGUCAAUCAUGAGUAAAUCCUUUCUCGCUAUCCGGUGCAUUUCUGAGUUGUUUUCAUUCUCGAUUCUCCGAAGGCCAUCAUUUCAGAAGAUUCUUCGUUCUCAGCUUUCAUCCUGAAUCUUCUCAAUUGUUUCCUCUUCGUUCGUAUCUCGAUUAUUUCGGUGCCUUAUUCAAGUUUUCUCUUAGGUGGCUCAUGAUCUUUUCAUUCUCUUGUAUCUCCAUUAAUUCUUGGUAUUUCCAUUCAAUUGUGAAUUCUUACCGGUGCGUCCGUCAAUUAUGCGUCAAGUGGUGCUUAUAUCUGUGUCUCUUCAAGAUUCUUUCAAGAGGAAUAAGUUGCAUGCUUAAUCCGUUGCUUGUCAUCAAUUUAACUUGAUGAAGGAUAAGCAUAACAUAAAUCUUAUUCUUGUUCUUAGUAAUCUGAAUUCUUCUUGCGGAGGGCUCAUGAUAUCAAUUCCUUUCUCUCAAGUAUGAUUAUCUUUUCUAUUCCCGAGUUCCAAGUUUUCUCAAGUAUCACUUUGUGAAGCUUCAUCUAAAUCUUGGCAAGGUCAUAAUCUUAUUCUUUUCUACCUUCAUAUUUUUGCAUCAUUCAUUUGUAUACGAUGGUCCUUCAUGGUGGUUCAUCAAGAUUUCAUUCUUUCUUAAGUGGUCUUCAAGAUUCUUGUUGGAGUACCUCAACUAUCCUUUCUCUUGCAUUUAUAGGUGCAAUUGUUCUUUCCUUAUCCUUGAGGUGGUCUUAUAGCAUUCUUGUUAGUGUAGGAGCCUCGAAGAGUUUUCCUUUCAAAAAUGAGAUAAUUAAACCCACCAAUUCUAUGAUCAUGAGAUAUUUUCAACCCAGGAUUUCUUCAUUGAGCUAUCUUGGUUUGGAUUUCACCUAAAGCUUUUCCUAUGGAUUGUGCUAUCAUGGUGCUUGUCAUUAAUCCAAAUUCUCAAUGUAUCCUCUUGGUGUAAGAAUUGUUCAUAUCUUGUUCUCCCAAUAAAUCCUUGUUUCUGGUAGUGGCUGGUUGUCACUUCAUUAGUUUGAAAAGGUUUCCAUAAGCCCACUACUAUCUUGUUCUUUUCGUUGUUGUUUUUCCAACAACUUCGUUCAAUUCUUCUUGCAAGAAUGCUUGCCAAGUUCAUUUGUGAUCUAGUUGUCAUUCUCUCUUCCUUCUCUUCUUCCGUAUGAGCUAGUCCCUAUUCUAUUGUUCCGGAGGCUUUGUGAUGUUGCUCUUUUGGGUCUAUCAUCUUGUUCUAUCAAGAUCAUGGUGUUCCCUUGUUCUAUUUACUUGUUUGUCGUGAAUAUUACCUAAUUCUUCCUUCUUAUCGAAUAUUUUUUGUCCCAUUUUCCUACCGAAGUGCUGCCGAAAUUUUCCGUGAAUUCUGGCUUCUUUCUCAUGUCAUUCCUCAUCUCCUUGCAACCUUCAAGGAUCGUUGGUUUCACUCGUUUGUCAAGAAGCGACUAAAUUUUACCUUGUUCUUUCUCAUCCUCUCCCCCUUUCAUUCUUGGAUCUUGGGGCAAGAUCCUCUUGUAGUGUAGGAGAGUUGUGACAGCCCGAUGCCGACGUUCCAGAAGAUUCCCUUUCCUUUCCGUUUUCAUAGUGUGUCUAUUUUUUUCUUUUGUCGCAUCAUCAUCGCAUCAUGCGCAUCAUUUGCAUUGCAUCGGCAUCUCCGUUGCCGCUAGUUUUCAAACUUGCAUCCGCUAGUAGUUGCCGGUUCUCGUCAUUGUCCGUUCUGAGUCCGACCGCACAUGCACGUGCCCGUGGCAUCGUCGUAACCCUGUUUUCGAAAGUGUGCGUUAAACUUUCUCUGAUCGGGGAGAAACUUGGCAUGCAGUCGUAAUUUGUUUUAGUUAGGCCGCCUGUCAAGUUUCGUCGCAAUCGGAGUCCGUCUGGUACCCGAACGGUCGACCGUAGCGGCACCGUAUUCGAUCUAUCGUCGGACGUUUUCCGGUAUUUUAAAUCUCGUUCCCGGGCUGCCCAUUUUCCCUCUCAUCUCCGCCUAGCCCCUCUGCACAGUGCACCGACCCUACACGCAACCUAGUCCGAAAACCUAUCGGAACCGGAAUCAUGUGUACGUGACCGUUGGGUCCGGAUCGACCCCGUUUUACCGCAAACCGUCAUUGGUUUGUCCAUUGGAUCCCUAACCUAUUUAACUGCGACCGUUCAAUUACGAUCGGAGGGUCUUGAACUAUUUUCUUUUCCUAUACUUUUGGACAAACCCUAGCCUAGGCAGACAACCCUCCUUGUUUUCCUCCCCGCGCCGCCAACCGUGUAUCUAAUUUCGUGCCUGACCAAUUCCCCUCCACCUCUGGAACCCCUCCCGAUCCAAAUCCAUCCAACAAGAGCCCCAGCCGACCACCGUAGCCAGCAGCCCGUCGGCCACCUUGCGCUGCUGUCCUUGGACGUGUCCGGUGACCAGUGCCCGCAGCUCCUUCUUCGUGUGCUCCUGGACACACCGCCCAUCAUCGCCAGCAGGCCAGGACCCCGCGUCGCCGGUGCCGAGCAGGAACGACAGAUCUUGCACCCGCCAAGACCUGCCGUAGAUGACCCUCCAGUACCUCGGAUCGGGAGCUCGAGCCGCCCUUGCCCGGAUCCGCGCCACCGCCGGUUGAGCAGAAAAACUGCCCCACCAUGGUGCUCGUGAGGAAAUCGUGCCACCGCCAGGGACGCCUCGUCCGGCAAGCACCUCACCGGAGGUCGGAACCGGCAGCCCCGCACCGCUAGGAGCCACUCAAGGUCGAGCCUCUCCCGUCCCCAUGUCCUUCCUAUCCUUCCCCAUUUCUUCUUCUUCUCUCCCUCUCUCUCAUGCUCCCCCUUUCUUUGUUUCUCUAAACAACAACUGCAGGAGCCCCAUGGCUGCCGUCUCGUCACCGUUGGACCCCGAGCUGCCGGAAGCUUCUCCAGCCCCGGGAACGGGACCCCCUCGCCCAGAUCCACGCCGCCUCGAGCUCACCCUGUCCCUCCUCUGCGUCCUCUCACUGUGGCCGCCGGCAUCUGUUUCCCCGAUGUGAGCAACUUCUGUCUGAAACUCUCUUUAUUUCUAGAUCCGUUCGGAUAUGGCAGGUUAAUUCCAGUAGCCUCUAAUUUCACCAUGAGCAAGUCUGUAGCCGAGUUGGCUAGCGCAGCCAAUUUCGAAGCAAGUGGACUGGGGUUUGAAUCCCACGUGUCCCUAUUUUAUGUUGUUGUUGUUUUCCUUUUUGAUCUGCACUUCACCGCGAGCACAGCGAGCCUAGUUGUUUUGUUUUUCGUCAGGUUCAUUGGAGUUGCUGGUUCAGUUAACUUAGCUAUGCUAUUUUCACAAGAAUAGUUGGCUAUCCUAGUGGUAGGCACAACACACACACAUCCAAGAGGUUCUGGGUUCAAAUCCCAGCCACGCAUAUUUUGUUUUGUGUUUUACAGUUUAGAGUCUCGGUGUGAUGCAUAUCAGGUAAAUACCCGCCUUGUUCCAAAGUCACUACAUAGCGAAGUGCUCACAUGUGUUUCAUUCAUUUGAUAGGUGCAGCGUUCUAGUCCCGGGCGAACACAAAUUUUUUUUGUGCCUCUGUUUUCCUCGAACGUUGUCACAUGCUCAUGGGCCUGAUAUGCUGCUCGGUGGCACUAUGCCUCCAGAUUCGGCCCACUUAUUUUUUUUCCAUGUGUCCCUCUGAAUUUGUCUAAUUUCAGUGUAGAUGUAUUUUUUUAAAACGCUGUACUUUUUAAACCGUGCGUCGGAUCACGACGAGUGAUAUAUGUAUAUCAUGUAGAAUUUCGCGUAGAGUAAUAUUUUCCAACUCUCAUGCAUGAUUAAAACCGUUAAGCUUGCUGGUUGCAUCGUUUCGCGUGACGUGCCGUGCUAAUACCGUUCUACCCGUAACAUUUGAUCCGUACCUCCGUUGGAGAUGAUCUAUAUAUGUAAAUCGAGUAGGACGAUGAGUAGAAUCAUGGGAAUCACUUUGUUUUACCGUUUAACAAACAUAAAAUGUGAUUAGGACAAAUCUGGACAGAAUUAGAAUUUAACGCAUGGGGUCAUUUCGGAGAUGCUAUAUGUCGUAUCGGGCCUCAUUUAAAAUGCCUAGAUAGGUAGAUUAAUUACGCUUCACCUCUUGCCAUGUUUAAUAACAUUUAAUAUUGCCGUGUAAAUUAACAGGAGUGAACUAAAUAAUUAAACGUGGAGUUUCGUCGAUAUGCAACCCGUUGCAUAUCGAGCUUCACUUAAUGUGUCGUGUUUGCGUGAGGUGAAUUGCCAUGCCAUCCCGUGCAUCGAUGAACUGAUCAUGCAUCAUAUUAGGGUAUGCAUCAUGUUAUGCAUCGUGUGGUGAAUAUCUGUGUUGAUGUUUGUUUCCAAUUUGCUCCGUCUCGAUAGGGUUCCGCAAGCGUGUCAAAAUGUGAGGACCCGUUCGACUACGUUGGUUUGCCGACUCCACCGAGUUGUUCUUGUUCAAAGCGGGAUCUCAGGCAAGAUGACCGUUUCCCCAGAUACCAUUACUAUCAUUGCCAUGCUAGUUUUACCGUUUCUACCGUUUAUGUCUCGUUGCCUACCACAUGUUAAAUAUCAGCCUCUCAACAAUGCCAUGAAACCUUCAACCUGUUCAACUUAGCAAACCACUGAUUGGCUAUGUUACUACUUGUUUAACCAUGUUGUUAGCGUUGCUAGUUGCAGGUGCAUUGCUUCCAUGUGAAAGCAUGGGUUCCUUGUUAUAUCACCAUAUUACUGCUAUUUAAUUUAAUGCACCUAUAUACUUAUUAAAAGGUGGAAGGCUCGGCCUUACUAGCCUGGUGUUUUGUUCCACCUUUGCCCUCUUAGUUUUCGGCUACUGGUGUUAUGUUCCAUAAAUGAGCGCUCCUAACACGAUUGGGGUUGUUAUGGGGACCCCCUUGAUAAUUCGUUUUAGAUUAAGAUUGGUCUAGCAAGGCCCAACUUUGGUACUACAUUUGCCUAAACACCUAAUAAAAUUGCAUAGGGACUUUCCUGACCCCGAGGAUAAUUUAAUCAACCCGGGGCCAGUGCUCCUCAUGAGUGUUGGUCCAAACUGGCAGACUACGGGGCCACCGCGGGGCAACCCGAGGUAUGGUUCUCCUAGUGUGACCCAUUCGUCGUGUCCUGAGAACGAGAUACGCGGCUCCUAUCGAGAUCAUCGACACAUCGGGUGGCCUUGCUGGAUUAGUUUUACCUUUGAUGAAAUAUCUUGUGCAUCGGGAUUCCGGUGAUGCUUUGGAUAAACUCAGAGUUGAGGUUUUCCACUAAGGAAUCCGACGAGAUUGCGAGCUUCGUGAUCGAGGGUUUCUAUGCGGCUUGUGGUAAUUUGUGAUGGACUAGUUGGAGCACCCAUGCAGGGUUAAAUCUUUUGGAAAGCCGUGCCCGCGGUUAUGUGGCAACGUGGAAACUUUGUUUAACACUUGUUCUAGAUAACUUGAGUAAUUUAAUUAAAAUAUGGCAACUGUGUGCGUAACCGUGACUGUCUCUUUCGUGAGUUCCUUCUCCGAUCGAGGACACGGUGGGGUUAUGUCUGACGUAGGUAGGUGUUCAGGAUCAUUCAUAUGAUCAUCAGUAGUCAUGUCCGUUAUGCGUAGAUCUUCCCUCUCUUAUUUCUGGUACUCGUAAGUGUAGCCACCUAAUAUAUGCUUAGCCGCUGCUGCAACCUCACCACUUAACCAUACCUCACCCAUUAAGCUUUGCUAGUCUUGAUACCUUUGGAAAUGAGAUUGCUGAGUCCCCUGUGGCUCACAGAUUACUACAACACCAGUUGCAGGUACAGGUAAAGGUUACUUGACGCGAGCGCGUUGAUUGUUCAUUUGGAGUUGCUUCUUCUUCCUCUUCUUCAUCGAUCUAGGAUGGGUUCCACGCCGGCAGCCUGGGAUAGCAAGGAUGGACGUCGUUCUUCUUUUCUUGUUUGUUUUCGUCCGUACUCAAACCGUGCUCUUACUCUUGAUGAUUAUGUAAUGUACUGAUGUGACUCUGAUGUAGCUUGUGGCGAGUGUAAGCCAAUUCUAUUAUAUCUCUUCUUUUCAGUACAUGUACUUGUAAUGAUAUCCAUUCUUGCGACACGACGAGAUGCGCUUCUAUCCCUGACGAGGCCUUCGUGCCAAAUUGAGGAUAGGGUCACAUCUUGGGCGUGACAUUCACCUUCUCGUGGUCCCACCUCUCUUAUAGUUACAGUUCACCGUGUCGGUGUUGCCGAGCCGCCGUGGCAGCCAGCAAGGGCCUAGCUCCCCUAUUUAAACCCCCCUCUGUGUCUGGGUUCCAUAGGGUUCCCUAUUCCCCUCUCGGCCAUCGCCAGGUGAGCUAGCCCCAUAGAUCUUCCUGAUCCGUCCCUCUACAAAGAGGGAGAGCAGCGAGCCCGUCAUCGCUGUCGAGCACUCUCGUGACCCCAUGUAGAAAAAGCAUCUAGGUGUUGUGCUUGUUCAUGCUUCUUCCACGACGUCCUCUCCUUCAUAGAGGGAUGUUAAGGCCAAGAGAAAUUGCCGUUCUUCUUCCUGGCUGCAGCUCGUCGCAGGCGAGCAAUUCGUCUCUGCGCUUCAUCCUCGAGCCGGAUCGGCUACACCAAGCCCCUCCUCGCGAGCAUCCGCGCAUCUCGUGUGCUUUUCCCACUCGGUUGCACUCUAUAUCAUCGUCGUUUUCGAGACCGAGCCUGCGGCUAUCAAACCUCGUCUCCGACAAGAUCUUAGACUUAAUUUUAUGUUGUGUAGGCGUUCGUUAGGAGUUCUUGUCGACGUGAGGUUCCGUUUUUGCCAUCAAAUAGAAGUUUUCCCCGCCAUGGAUAGCUAGUCAUACUCAUUGUUGCCGCCUCUAUUUCUUGUCGCCGGCAUCCAUCCGUUCAGCGUCAGGUGCCACAGAUGAGCGUGUGCGUGCAGAAGGAGGUUGUGGGAAGUUUCGUGCCUUCCGCCAUGUAUUAGGUCACUGGAGUAAGGCCGUCGUGGUCUUAUGCUGCCUACUUCGCCGUAGGUGGUUGCCUGAUACGUCUCCAACAUAUUUAAUUUUCUAAACUCUUUUCCCCUUGUUUUGGACUCUAAUUUUCAUUAUUUGAAUGGAACUAACCCGGACUGACGUUGUUUUGAGCCGAUUUGCCUUGGUAUUAUUUUUGUGCAGAAAUAAAAGUUCUGGGAUUGACCUGCAAAUUUACGAAGAAUAAUUCUGGAUUUAAUGAAAAAACCGGCAAAAUAAUCUACCGGUGAGGGGCCACCCCCAGGACACGAGCCUGCAGGGCGCCCCCUAGGUCGCGCCCCCUGGCUUGUGAAGUCCCUGGAGCUCCACCGACCUCGUUUCUACUCCUAUAUAUUCCCAUCCGCGGAGAAAAAAAUCAAAUAGAAGACUUCAUCGCGUUUUACGAUACGGAGCCACCACCACCUCCUGUUCUUCCUCGUGAGGGCAGAUCUGGAGUCUGGUUUGGGCUCCGGAGAGGGCAAAUCGACGACGCAUCAUCACUAACCAUCCCUCAUCACCAAUCUCAUGAUGCUCUCCAUUGUUCGUGAGUAAUUCCAUCGUAGGCUUCCUUGAUGGUGAUGGGUUUGAUGAGAUCUAUCAUGUAACGAGUUAGUUUGGUUAGGGUUUGAUCCCUAGUAUCCAUUAUGUUCUGAGAUUGAUGUGGCUAUGACUUUGCUAUGCUUAAUGCAUGUCACUAGGGCCCGAGUGUCAUGAUUUCAGAUCUGAACCUAUUAUGUUUCCAUGAAUAUAUAUGUGUUCUUAAUCCUAUCUUGCAAGUUAUAGACACUUAUUACGAGUUAUGAUCCAGAUCCCCUAGGGUGACAAUAACUAGGAUUCUUUCCCAUAAUUACUGUAGUUUGAGUAGUUCAUGUAUUCACUAAGUGCUAAUGCUUUGGUCAAGUUCCCUAUUAAAAGGAGGCCAUGAUAUCCCUUAGUUUCCAUUGGGAUCCCGCUGCCACAGGAGGAUAGGACAAAAGUUGUCAUGCAAGUUCUUUUCCAUAAGCACAUAUGACUAUAUAUGGAAUACAUGCCUACAUUACAUUGAUGAAUUGGAGCUAGUUCUGUAUCACCCUAUGUUAUUACUGUUGCAUAUCCAUUUGACAUAAUUAUCCAUCACUGAUCCAUUCCCUAAGAGCUUUCCACAUAUUGGUCUUUGGUAAGUUACUUUUCCGUUGCUACUAUUACAAUCACUACAAAACUGCUACUGUCACUUUGCCACUGUUAUCGUUACUUCCAUAUUACUUUGCUACUAAACACUUUGCUAUAGAUAUUAACUUUUCCAUGUGUGGUUGAAUUGACAACUCAGCUACUAACACCCGAGAAUAUUAUUUGGCUCCCCUUGUGACGAAUCAAUAAAUUUGGGUUGAAUACUCUCCCUCGAAAAGUGUUGCGAUCCCCUAUACUUGUGGAUUAUCAUUGCCUCUGUAGUGUGCCGUGUGAGUCUCUGUUUCAUGGGCCUUGCCAACUAUAGGGUGGAGCCAAAUUACUAGACCACCCCAUCUGGUCAAACCAGAGUCGCCAAGCCAGCUGGCUAGCCAUGCCAGUCAACACCAUGAGGUAUCGGGUUUGACCCCCCCAUGAGCCCCUUUUUCAUUUGUGUGAUGAUAUUUGGUGUGAGGAUGACAGCGGGUCCUUGGGCCCGCUUGUCAUGCACUCAAUGACCCUCGUGAGACAACCAAUGGGACCCCUGACCCCGUGUAAUUAUAUGUUUUGUUUUAUUUUUACUUUCGUGGAUGCUAAUACGCCAUUUAGGGCAAGUUUACAAAUAUGGGAGUGUCCAAUUCGGGCAUAUGCCAAAUCUAGAAUGUACUAGCAUUUACCUAGUUGUUUGUAUUCUUUUAGGUUUGUGGCAUGAUUUCCUAGUGUAACCUAUGGUUAAGAUAUAUGAUUUUUGGUAGAUUAAUGCAAGGAAUUCACGUGUGGCAUUAGUUUUGUAUUUUCAUCAAGUUGGGAUGCAUGAUAUUUUCACCAUGAUGGCCUUUUUAUUAAUUUUGUAUGAAGCAUUCCUUGCACCCAUUGGUAAAUUUGUCUACAUGAAAGUUGUAGCUUGUUUUUGGGGUACUAAGACGUGGUAUUUUGCUUGCUAUGAAAACCUUGUCUAGUGGUGGAAUUCUUGUUGUCAACAUACUAUGUCAUUGUUGUUGAAUUGGUAGGGUGAAAUAUGACCAAGUGAGAAAUAUGUUAUCAAAUAGUUGUGUUUCCAUGUGGAUUGCUAAGUAUCUAUAGGCUCUCUCAAUUUUUGUUAUAUCAUCGUUGCCUUAAGUACCUUGCUGUGAGAGUUCCGUGGGAUCCAAAACCCGGCUUGCAACGUUCUUUAUAUGCAUUUGUAUCGUUUUCUCGUGAUGCAUUCAUUUUUGCCUUGUUCAUGCAUGUCCAAAUAAUUAAACUUGAGGUUCUUUCCAGGAUGAUAUAACUAAAUAUUUGCAUGAGAAAGAUGACUAGUGUAGCAUUACCAUGCUUCAUUCACAUCAUACUUAUCCAUCAUAUUGUUUGAGAAUCGUGUCGUGGUUGUGUGUUCAUUGGAUGUUGUAUAUUCUGUUUGGUAGCAUUGGGUGCCGAGUACGAGUAUGAGGAUCCUGUUGAGAAUGUUCCUACAGAGCAAGAGUUCUAUUCCCGAGAAGAAGAGCCAGGCAAGAUGAUCGUUGACCUUGAUACCCUUUCUAAUUUUAUUAUGUCUACUUGUCUCGUUUCUAUUGUUAAUUAUCGCUUCCUACCACCUGAAUAUCAAGCCUUCCAAAAUGCCAUGAUAAGCCUCUAACGCUUCCACUUCCUAACAAUCAUUAAUUGGCUAAAUUAGCACUUGCUCAAACCUUCUUAUAGUGUUGCUAGUUGUAGGUGCAGAGUGAGCCAUGUGUUGCCAUGGAUAUUUGGGAUAUCAUCUUAUUAUUGCUAUUUAGUUUAAUGCACAUAUAUACUUGGUAAAAUGUGGUAGGCUUGGCCUUUUGCUCGGUGUUUUGUUCUGCUUUUGCCGCCCUAGUUUCUAGUUACGAGUGUUAUGUUCGAUAUUGAGCGCUCAUAACAUGCUUGGGGUUGUUAUGGUGAUCCCCUUGAUAAAUCAUUUUGGUGUAAAACUCGUAUGGCAUGACCCAACAUUGAUACUCCAUUUGCUAAUAAACUUAAUAUAAAAAUACUCCUCAUGAGUGUUGGUCCAAACUAGAGCAUCGUGCGGGGCCACCUCGCGGCAACUCGGGAAAUUUCUAUUAGGCCACCGUGCGUUUCGCUUAUCAGACGUUUCUGGAGAACGAGAUAAGCAGCUCUUAUUGUUGGGGAACAUAGUAAUUUCAAAAAAAUCCUACGUCACACAAGGAUCUCUCUAUGGAAAACCAGCAAUGAGCAAAUGUGUAGAGCAUCUUCAUACCUUUGAAGAUCGCUAAGAAGAAGAGUCGUACUCGCAAUGAAUCAGAUCACGGUGGAUUUCGAUCUAUGCACCGAACGACGAUGCCUCCUCGUUCAACACAUGUGCAGCCCGGUGAUGUCUCCAAUGCCUUGAUCCAGCAAGUAGGGAGGAGAGGUUGAGGGAGAGAUCGGGAAGCAUGACGGCAUGGUGGCGGUGGAGCUACGUGGUACUCCGGUAGGGCUUCGCCAAGCACUACGGAGGACGAGGACGAGGAGGAGUAGGGCUGCGUAGAGAGAGAGAGAGAAGUUGUCUCAAAUCAGCUCCAAACCUUCCAGUAUUUACAGGAGGAGAGGGAGGAGGGUGCCAACCCACUGGGUUUCCCACCCUAAGGGGUGCGGUAGGCCAUCUAGGGCAAUGGGCGACGGCCAAGGGUGGAGAGGUGGUGGCGCCCUAGGGUGGGCUAGCCCACCACGCCUAGGGUUAGCCCACCACCCUCUCUCAUGCGCCUUGGGCUGCUAGUGGUGGCGCACGAACCCACAUAUGUGAUGAUUCCCAUCCACCUUUUGGCCCAAAUACCCUUCCAUGGCUGUUGGCCCUUCCCAGUGGACCCUGGCACCCUUCUGGUGGUCCCGCUACAUUAGCACUGUCGCCCAAAACAAUUCCGGCGACCAAAUCCUCACUUCCCAUAUAUGAUUCUUUACCUCCGGACCAUUCCUGAACUCCUCGUGAUGUCCGAGAUCUAAUCCGGGACUCCAAACAACCUUUGGUAACCACGUACACUAUUCUCCUAUAACCCUAGCGUCAUCGAACCUUAAGUGUGUAGACCCUACAGUUUCGGGAAGCUUGCACACAUGACCGAGACACCUCUCCAGUCAAUAACGAACAACGGUGUCUGGAUAUCCAUCUUGGUUCCCGCAUGUUCCACGAUGAUCUCAUAAGAUGAACCACGGUGUCGGGGAUUCAAUCAAUCUCGUAUGUAAUUCCCUUUGUCUAGCGGUAUGAUACUUCCCCGAGAUUCGAUCAUCGGUAUCCCUAUACCUUGUUCAAUCUCGUUACCAGCAAGUCUCUUUACUCGUUCCGUAACAUAUCAUCCCAUGGAUAACUCCUUAGUCACACUGAGCUCAGUAUGAUGAUGGAUUACCGAGUUGGCUCAGAGAUACCUCUCCGUCACACGGAGUGAGAAAUCCGAGUCUCGAUUCAGACAACCCAACACACACUUUUGGAGAUACCUGUAGUGCAUCGUUACAAUCACCCAUUUACGUUGUGAUGUUUGAUACACCCAAAGCACUCCUACGGUAUCCGGGAGUUGCACAAUCUCAUAUUCUACAGAAAUUUUCACAUUAGAAAAGAUUUAGCAGACGAACAACACGAUCUAGUGCUAUGCUUAGGAUUGGGUCUUGUCCAUCACAUCAUUCCCCAAUGAUGUGAUGUCGUUAUUAAUGACAUCCAAUGUCCACGAUCAGCAAACCAUGAUCAUCAAUUUAUCAACGAGCUAGCCAAUUAGAGGCUCAGUAGGGACACACUGUGAUCUAUAUAUUCACACAUGCAUUACGGUUUUUGGUUAAUACAAUUAUAGCAUGAAUAAUAGACAAUUAUCAUGAACCAGGAAAUAUAAUAAUCACUACUAGAAAACAGUUUUUAGCCAUCUGCCUAGUCUUUGCCGUCUGCUAGCUGAUGGAAAAGAGUGUCUUUGCCGUCAGCUUCAGCAAAACAGACGGCAGAGCAGAGGCUGAUGGCGUAAAGUCUUUUUGCCAUCUGCCACAUCUUUGCCGUCUGCUAGCGGACGACAAAGAGUCCAGAGGCAGACGACAAAGAUAUAGAUAGGCCCACCUGACCGCGGGGUGGCUAGGUCAAACUGGAUUCGGACCUUUGCCGUCUGCUAGCGGACGGCAAAGAGUCCGGAGGCAGACGGCAAAGAGUCUAGAAUGUUUGUCGUCCGCUGGCAGACGACAAUGCUCUAACACCAUUAACAACUCCUUCCCCCCACCCCGCCACUCUCUCUCUCUGUAACGGUCACCCCGCGCGCCCCUCUCUCUCUCUCCCCACCCCGCGCGCCCCUCUCUCUGUAACGGCCGCCGCCCCUGUCACCCCCACUGACGCCCCUGUCGCCCCUGCCGCCGCCCCUCUCUCUCUCUCCCCCACCUCGCCCCCACUUCCACUGCCCCACCACCGUCGCAUCGCAGCCCCUAGCGCCGCCGGCGCCGCCCUGCCACCCCAACACCCCGGACCCUCCAGAGCUGCGCCUCCCAGUGAGCCCCCCACCCGCAUUAUUUUUUAGUAGUUUUAUUAUUUUAGUAGUUUUAGUAGUUGUUAUUGUUAGUAGUUUUAGUGGUAUAUUUAGUUAGGUUAGUAGUUUUAGUUAGGUUAGUUAGUUAGCUUGGUUAGUUAGGUGGAGGAGGAGAAGAGGAGAAGAGGAGGAGGAGGAGGACAAGAAGAGGAGAAGAAGAAUAGGAGUAGGAGGAGGAGGAGGAGGAGAAGAAAAAGAAGAAGAAGAAGAAGAAGAAGAGGAGGAGAAGAAAAAAACAUAAGAAGGAGAAGAAGAAGAAGAAGAAGAAGAGAAGAAAAAAAUAAGAAGGAGAAGAAGUAAAGAAGAAGAGAAGAAGAAGAGAAGAAGAGAAUAAGAAAAAAAAUAAGAAGGAGAAGAAGAGAAAAAAGAAGAAGAAGUUGAUUUUUUAUUGUUUGGUAUUUAGUGGUAGCUAGAUUCUUUUUUAGUUACUUAGUGGUAGAUUCUGUUUUUGUUAUAGUGGUAGAUUCUGUUUUUGUUAUUUUUUUGCUGUUUAGUGCUAUCUAGGUUUAGCGAUAGGUUUAGUUAGCUUGGUUAGUUAGGUUAGUUAGUUAGUUAGCUUAAUAGAAAGAAUAGGAAGAAGAAGAAGAGGAGGAGGAGGAGAAGAGGAGGAGGAGGAGAAGAAGAAGAAGGAGAAGAAGAAGAAGAAUAGGAGCAGGAGAAGACAAAAAUAAGAAGGAGAAGCUGAAAGUGCGUUAUAUCAACUAGAGGGGGGUGAAUAGGAGAUUUUUAGAAUUUCAUCACCGAGGAAAUUCCUUUUGAGGAAAUUCCUCACUGAUGACUAACUUACAGCGGAAACAGUAAAGGAUCAGAAGUGCGAAGUUUCACAACAGCAGUUUUUCGGAGUGACGAAUGUGAAAACAGAUUGCACUGUGAGCAGGCACGCAGAAUACAGAUGAGGAUUAACUGACGUGAAGAAUUUGGGGUUGAGGAAAUUCAGAGAAAGUCUUCAGCAAAUUCUUCAAACAGUCGCAGUGAAAGUCAUCAACAAAUAAUACGAGGAAAGUAAGGAGUUGAGGAAUUAGAACCCGUUUCUCAGUGAAGACAGUCGUUGAUGACCCAGUUCCAACUGCUGUGACAGUCGUACAUCUGGUUUGGAGCGGCUUGGUAUUGAAACCAAAGGACACACGGUCCCGGGACGCACAGUCCCUACCAUGUUCUCCUUGGGCUAAGAACACAGAGUCCUCGCCCAACACUCGUGGUAAGUCUUCAGGGCAGACUUCCAAACCCUCAGAAACUUGGUCACCCGGCGAUCCACAAUUGACUGCUGAAAAGCUCUAGACCAUGACGCCUAACCGUCUCGAGGAUGCACAGUCCUCAAAGGUAAUAGGCUUCAGUCCCACACUGGAACAACUUCUUCAGUGAUGCUCAAUCACUAGGUUUGGUUUGUGGUUUCGGUGUAUGGUGUAUUUCCUCACUGAUGAAUUACUCUCGAAGACUCUGAGGAAUUGGGUUGCUCUUAUGACAAGUGUCAGUUUCUAACGAAGUAGCCAACCAGCUAAUGGUUGUGGGGGGUGGCUAUUUAUAGCCUGGGAGCAUCCCGACAUGAUUUGACACUAAUGCCCUUAAAUAAUAUGACCGUUGGAGUGGAUAAGACCAAUGACUUGGCGUGGCUAUCAAAAUGGUCGGAACCCUCAACUGUGAGAGUCCUCAUGUCACUCGUACUCCUCACUUGAGGCUUUUGGUAGGAUUAGGCUUGGGUUGAGCAUCAUGAGGAAAUUCAUUCCAAAGUGUAACUUCGACCCCCUUUAACAGUACGGUGUUCCUAUUACUCAAAUGUGAAGAAAAUAAAACAGAAAGAGUAAAUCUUCAUGCUUCAAAUUCUUCAAAGUGAUUUUCUUCAGGACACACCGAAUUCCUCAAUUUCAGUAUCUUCAUGAGGAAUAUCAAUUUCAUCACAGAUUCCUCGCGAUUCAUUUCUUCAGCUUCAGACCAAUUUCUUCAACCGAAGAUAUACAUUUUUAGGGGUCGAUAUUCUUCAAAUAUCUCAAACUCCUCAAUGACUUAUAGAUCCUGUGUACACUCAUAAACACAUUAGAUGUUAACCUAUAAGUCUUCAAACCACCAAAAUCACUAAGGGGCACUAGACGCACUUACAAUCUCCCCUUUUUGGUGGUUGAUGACAAUUAGGUUAAGUCUUCAACAGGGAUAAAAAAUAUGAAGUGUAAAUACUCAUUUGAGGAAUUUGAAAUCAAGAUUCAGAGAGACUCCCCCUGAAGAUGUGCAUAUCUUGAGGAUUUUGCUUUUCACAGGAAAUGCACAUUGAUGAUUUAUAUCAUGGAGAUCUCCCCCUGAGUCUUGUAAAUCAUGCAUACAUGUAACAUAUCAUGUGAAGAAAAUGAAAAUGCAUGAUGACAAAUGGUAUCUGACGAAUUCCAGCAUGCGUGCAUUAAAACUUGAGGAAUAAGCAUGCGAAGAAAAACGUUCAAAAGCGUCAGAGUACCAUCAGGCUUAAGUUACAACUCAUUACAUAAAAACUUCAGAAGAGCCAAGAGUUUGUAACUUAAAUAUAGUUUAUAAGCCCCAAAAAUAUCCCGCUUGAAGACUAACUCUCAAGUUUCUCCCCCUUUGUCAUCAAGUGACAAAAAGGGACAAACUAAGGACUAACGCCCGUGAAGACUUCACUUCUUGGCGGUUGAGGAAGAGCCGUGAUGCUUCUUGGGAGUAGUCUUCUUCCUUGGACCGGUAGCAGUGUCGAGCUAUUCUUCAUCAGUUUCGCAGUGCGGAAUGAAGAAAAGGAGCUGUCUUCAAGGUCUGGAACUGGAAUGGGCCUGAACUUCUUCUUGGGAGGCCACGACCAUUCAAAGUCUCGCUCAAAGUCCAUUUCUUCAAGCUCAGUCUGAGUCUUCAGAUGUGCAAGUGUAGCCAGGUGCGAUCAAAAACCUCAUGCAGAUAAUGAUGGUUGAGCUACACAGAGUUCUGUGUUUCAGUGAGGGUUUUCACAAUGGCGCCAAACUGGCGUUUGACCCACUUGUGAUUGCGAUCCACCUUCCGGUGAAGACUGAGGAGGAGCUCUCUUGUAUUCAUCACACGAGGAGGAACGGGGCUUGCCGGACGAGUCUUAGUAUCAUCCCAUGAAGAAUAAGCUUCUGGCUCUCUGAACUGGCCGUUAAGGGGCCUACUGCCUUCUUCAAUCACUGAUUUGCCUUUUCCUUCAAUGGGCUCGAAAAUCUUCUUGUUGACCCGGAUAGGAGGCAUGUAACCAACAUGGUUUUGGAAAUCAGCGUGGAAGUUGAUGCCUGUCCUUGUCCUGAUGAAUCUCUUGAUCCAUGGGGCAUAUAUUUUGUGAUCAAAAGGACACAUAGCAUUGUUGGCUAAAGUCCUCAAGAAGAAAUCAUGGAUGUUGAUAGGAAUACCAUAAAUGAUGUUGAAGAGGAUAUUCUUCAUGAGGCCUACGACAUAUUCUUCAUCAUCAUGGCCUUUGAUCGGCGCGAGCGCACUGCAGAGGAUUUUGUAAAUAGAUCUGGGUGUGUACUUGAGCUCGUGGACGAGGAAGGUUGUUCUCGGAGGUUUUCCUUCAGCCAAAGGCUUCAUGAGGACUUCCAUCAUCCCAUUGUGCAGCUCACGCUCACCAUAAAGUUUCACAGCCUCAUCCGAGGGAAUUGGUACAGGCAGUUCACGGAGGAGUUCAGUAGCAGGAGCCUUGUAGUGAGUGUUUUGUGUCAUCCAAUCAAACACCCAAGUGUUAAUGUCUUCAGGGUUGCCGGAUAAGUGAAGAGUGGCAUAGAACUGAAGAAUUAGCUCGCUGUUCCAGUCAGAGAUGUCAGAGCACAUUGGUAGUAAACCAGCAUCAUGGAGUAUACUAAGGACUGGCUCGAGGCACGGUAUAGCUUCAAGUUCAACGUGAGGAAUAUGCAUGUGCUGGAAUAUAUUGUUUCGUCCACAUAGCACAGAGGAAUAGUAAUUCAUCUGUGUCCUAGUCCAAAAAUUUAGAUGCCUCAUUUGAGGCUUGUCAUAGGGGUUCUCUCCAAUGAAGUACAUGCGUUCUUCAAAGAAAUUUUCCUUUUGAAACUUUGGACGCUUGGAGAAUGGCUGACGCUGAACUGGCUGAAGAUUUUGCUGAGGAACAGGAGGGGAGACAACAAUGGUAGUCUCUGGGUUGAGCACGACGAAUGCAUUGUCUUGGUCAGGUGCAUUUUUCUCAGCAUUUUCCUCAGGGUGAGGAAUUUCAGCAGCUGGUACUUCAGACUGAGGAGAUGGUGUUGGCUAGGCGUCAGGCUGAGGGGCUUGCUCUAGCUGUGCAUCAGGCUGAGGAAUAGCUUCUUCUUGCUCAGUUGGAGGAGUUGGGUCAGCCUGUUCCUCAUCUUGAGGAUUUUUCUCAGAGCGUUGAAUUUCAUCGUCUUGAGGAUUUUCAUGUUGUUCUUCCUCAGCUGGCUUGGUGGCAGAGGCAGUUUCAUCAGCUGGUGCAGCUGAUCCUUGAGCAGUGUCUUUCUGAGGAAUGAAGGGCUCAGGACUGUCGUCUAUAUGAAUUUCUUCGUUAGUGUGUUCCUCAGAGGCGGCAUCCUUCAUUUCCUCAUCUGCCUUUUUCGCUUGAUUAUCAAUGAUGACCAUUUCAUAAGACGGAGCGAUAUUUAAGGGCAUAGGGUCCAGAGGAGCAGUUUCUUCAAGUUCUAUGAGGCGCUUGGCCUCGGUUUCUUCUUCUGCUGAGGAGGCAUUUCUCUUUUUGGCUUGCUUCUCAGCAGCCCUGGUUUUCUUCACGUCUGAUGCAGAUGGAGUUAUCUUCUUCACCUUUGAAGCUUUUGGUGAAGGGGUUCUCUCGACAGAUUCUUCAGCUGGUAUGGAGGAACUAGCUGGAACAGAGUCAUCAGCUAGCUUUGAUGAAGCAGCUGGGUCAGGGGCAGUCUCAUCAGCUGCAACAAAUUCAUCAGCUCGAGCUUCCAUGAUGAUUUCUUCAAUAGCCGGUACAUCUGCACGGCUUUCUUGGUGUACUUCCUCUGCUUGAGGAGUUUCCUCAUCAUGAGGAGAUUCGUCUGUUGGCUCCUCAAUCAAGGGCUGAGAAGUUGGUGCUGGGGGUGCAGCCUUCUUGUUGUAGUCAUCAACAGCUUUAGUGGCCAGCUUGAUGAAAUUGCUCUUGAGACUCUUACGAUCUGACAGCUUGGAGUACUUGUCAGUCAAUUUCUUCAGCUCUGCCUGUGUUGAUACCAGUGCUUCAGGAGUCAAGUUGAGGAGAUUCUGCUUGAGAAAUUUCUCCUUUUUAAGCUUUGCAACUUUGGCCUGCUUGGCCUGCUGUUCUUUCCACUUGGCUUCAUUGAUGAAAGUGGCCACCAUGUGGCUAAUGCCAGCGGAGAGUUUCAAAUCAUCAAGCGGAGUGUUUGGGUCCUCAUACCAUAUGUUGAUGUAGUCAAGGAGGACCUUGGGGUCCAUGGCCAGAGGAAUGGCACUGCCUGAUGCUUGAGCUACUCUUUCCUGCUUGUUUCUGAUGAUAGCUUGCAGGGUUUGAUCAUCAUAUUCAUCACUGCCCUCUGAUGAAGAUGGGACGGUGAUAAUUUUGUUGGGGCUUGGCAGAGUUGCAUGUUCAGCAGACACCUGAGUCUUCAUAGGAGGUGGUGAAGACUUUGUCUCCGAGCUGGUUGCAGCUGGGAGUGAGGAGCUGGAGCUGGCGGUCAUAGGCUUCAUGACUUGCUUCUGUACUGGUUUCUCUUGAGGCUUUGGUGGUGGUGGUUUUGGUGCUGAGGGUUUUGGUGUUGAUGGUUUUGGUGCUGAGGGUUUUGUAACUGAUGCCUGAGCAGACUUCUUUUCAACCUUUUGAGCCCUUGUCUUUGACGGCACAGACUGCAUUUGAGGAAUUUCUGAACCAGAGGUCUCAGCGGCAAAGGAAGUAGCAACAGCUGAGGGAGCAGCUGAGGAUUCAUUGAAUUUCCUCACUGCAGCUUCUGCCUGCUACUUGAGCUUAGCCAGAUGCUUUUCCUUCUCAUCUGGAUAGUCAUCAAUGGUCUUGAGGGUUGAGGGAUGUGCUACUUGAUGAUCCUCAAGUGGGGCCCGUCUGCCAGGGGGCUUUAGAGGGAAUUUCUUUCCAUACUUGGCAAUCACAAACCUGUAUUCCUUCCAUUCCUUCGCCCAUCGGCGUUCUAUCUUCUGCAGUCGUAUCUUUCUCUUGGCCAUUGUCUCAUUUUCAUCAGGUGUGCAAUAGUCCAAGUAAAUAUCCUUAGGGAUAUCCACACGUGUGUUUUUCUCUAGUUUCUUUCCUCCCUUCUGUUUUCUGUCAUCCUCCAUUUUCUUCAGCUGAGUAUUUUGCUGAUGAGAUUGAACUCUUGAGGAUUCUGAUGAGACUUGAAGAUUUUCUUCCAGAAACGCUGCAAAUGAGUUAAUGUGAUGAGAACCGAGAGAUUCAUCAGCUGACAUGUGUGUACCUGUGAACAGAGUAUAGUUGCGAGGCAUUUGGAGAGGUCAUAUGCGUUCUCAGAUUUGAAGAAAUUGAAAAAGUUUGACAGUUGAGGAAUAUAACCAGUGGUUGAGGAAUUUGCCUAAGCAUACUGUUCUUGGGUUCCAGAGUUGUACAGAUCCGAAAAUUCGCACAAUUGAGGUAUCUCGUGGAAAUCUAAGAUUCUUAGUAUAGUUCAUCAAUGAUGUGGUGAUAGGCAGUGUUUGAGGAAUCAAGUCCUUAUCGAUUCUUGAGGAAAAAUAGAUUUCACAUAAAAGAUGUAAAAUUUGUAGAUCUAACUUGCGGUAAAAAUGGGAUUUUAUUUACCCUUGAAGGAGCACACGAAGAACACAGAGAAGUUGUGUAGAGAGGCUCUUCGGUCGCGUGUCCAAUGCACCCUAACCCAGCGACAAAGGACGUCUACGGCGGCGGCAGACGAAGAUGGUCCGACUCCGGCGUGGUUCCGACGACGGAGAAGUCGAGGCAGCGAAGCUCUUCCUCACCGGCGACGAGACUACCAGCGAUGGCGCUAGGGUUCGGUGGUGUUUGCUAUAGCAGGAGAACGAUGGAGCGAAGAAGAGUUUGCCGAGGGGGAUAAGGACAUAUUUAUAGACAGACAGUUAUUGUUGGCACAAAGAUUUCGGACCAAAUAACCCCUGCCUCUACGUCUCCGCAGGCCACGUGUAGUUCCUGAACGAGGAGGUGGAGAUAGUGGAGAUCGCGGUUAUCCGAUCGUGGGAAGUGGGGUUCAGUUACUGUGCAUUAAAGAAACAAUUUUUGAAGAUUUGAGGAUUUUUGUUACAAAAUCAUCAGCUGACAUGGACGCAGUGAGGAUUUUGAACAAAGUUUCAAGUAUAGCGCAUAUGAAUAAUUGAAUAGACUGGAUGAGUAUAGCAUAGAGGGAAAGUAGAGUCCGAUCACAUUCACUUAGCAGAAAUAUCAACUUGAAGAAAUAGCUAUAAGUGAAUGUUGUUGAGGACUUGAAAUCACAGUCUAUCUAGUCAAAUGAAAGUCAUCAAGUGUGUUUGAAGAUUUUGUGAUGAAUCGUCACAAUGAAGAACAACUGUUUUGAAGAAAAACGCAAUUUGAGGAAAUGGAACAUUUGAAGAAAAUCAACCUGAGGAAUUUCACAUUGGGCGGUGGCGUGACCCACCAUAUAAGAAUGUUGAUUACAGACGCCGCGUACAAUUGUCGUAGGGCCCUGAGAAUGAGUGACAUUCUUCAUCAGUUGAAGAAAAUUGAUUCAUCAUGUGUUGCACAUCUAAGUCAUCAAUUUUGCAUAAGUGUUAGGAUGUGUGCAUGUUUUUACAAAACAUUUGAAGAUUCCAAGAUAUUUAGCUCACACCGCAACUUGCAAAACCUUUUCUCAUCCAAGGGCUUAGUGAAGAUAUCUGUCAGUUGACACUUUCCAAGGAAUUUAUUAUUUGACAACAAAAAAUAAAUUCAUUUUUUUAUUUCGGGACUGGGCAUCCCUAAUACCUUUGCCUUAGUCUCAUGCAAUGACAAGUGAAUAGACACUCAUUGUGAGAAUAACACAUCUAGCAUGGAAAAUAUUGGCCACCCCUCACAGACUCGUGAACGGUAGACCACGCAAAAGAGAAAUUUAUUUUGAAAAUUAGAGAUGGCACAUGCAAAUUUGCUUAUAAGAGUAUGCAAAUACCGCAUAUAGGUAGGUAUAGUGGACUCAUAUGGCAAAACUGGUUUCAAGGUUUUUGGAUGCACAAGUAGUGGUAUUGGGGUAUUUAUAUGGCAAGAGGCGGUGCAGGAGGCCAACGAGGAGGACACAACAAAGCGGGGCACGCCUGGGCCCCCAGGUGCACCCUGGUGGGUUGUGCUCCGAUCGGAGCUCCCGUGAGGUGCGUUACUCGCCCACUGGAUGUCUUGUGACCCAAAAAAUCCACAAAAAGUUUUGCUGCGUUUGGACUCCUUUUGGUAUUGAUUUCCUGCGAUGUAAAAAACAUGCAAAAAACAACAACUGGCACUGGGCACUAUGUCAAUAGGUUAGUACCAAAAAAAUGAUAUAAAAUAACUAUAAAAUGAUUUUAAAACAUCCAAGAAUGAUAAUGUAACAGCAUGGAACAAUCAAAAAUUAUAGAUACGUUGGAAACAUAUCAGGCAACAAAUCACAAGAUGGAUUAUGGUUUCACACCAUGUAAUGGCUCGAACCUACGUAGCUCAUGUGUCCAUGUUGUUCCGGUGAGGAGGGGUGAGCUCACCGUCAACUUUGAUGUGUUUGUCAUCGUGAUGCAAGUCUCAAGAAAAGCCCCCAAUGUUGGAACCUCGUUCUUGGACGCAGAUUCUAGACUAUGACAAAGUGCCGGCUCAUGAGAUCCUUCACGGCCCGCCUCUGCUACUCCUUCAGUCUAGGAGUCUUCUCCCACCCACUAAAUUGAAUCAAGAGCUUAAAACACCAUGUAUUUCUUGAUCAAAUUUGAAGUGUUGGCAUUCGUGGUGAAACUUUGCUUACAUGGAGGAAUUAGCUCCACGGGGGUUGGCUUGGGCAGAUCCAUGCGUUUCCCCUCUUCAGAAUAACCUUCUUCAAAUUUAGUCAAAUCCAACUCUCCUGCAUUCUUUGUCUCUACUACCCUGAUCUCUUUCACACAAUUUAGAUAAUCUUUUUCAGUGAAGGGUGUAUUGUCUACAUUGAACACAGGGAACCCGGCUGGCAGAAGAGCCGGAUCCAUUUCCAGUUGAAAAGCCUUUGCUCGCGUCAACGAAGACAUCACCCCUUGUCAGCAAUUACUUUCUUUAACAGUUUAAUCCACUCUGGAAUAGUGGAGAGGUCGUCAAGCAUUACCGUAAUAUACUAAGGUGGCACGUUGGUAUUUUUUAUCGCGAUCAUAUACCUAUCGCCACCUACAUAGAGUUGAUCAUAUAUUUUAGAGAACCUUCAUCUUCAAAAGAGGGAGCUCCACAACAUUAUGAUUCUUUUUGCCUGUUAACAAUACAAAUUAGCAACCCGACUAAAAUAUAUAUACAGAAUAAUUUGGCGACUCAAAACUGGGAAGAAACCGAUUCUUACCAAAGAUGGUUUUGCACUUGUCAGUUAGGUGACCUUUCAGUAUUUACAAUUCUUGUGUCACCGGAUUGAGUUUUGACUCGGCCUCCUCCGUGCAUUUUAGUAGGGCAGUUGUUUCUUCAUUGAAGGUAGAUUUAGUUUUGUCAAGUGUGCUUGUGCAAACCAUAAGAGACUUUUACUAGUGCAGAAAUGGCUAGCCACAAAUCUUGUUCGUGGCAUGCCAUUUCUCACCAACGCCAACACUAAUAUAUUCAAAUAGUGAUGGCGUUGUAUAAAUUUGUACGUUAUAGCUAAUCACAUCCUGGUGGCAACUUCAGCCGAACACCAUUUGUAUGAGGACUCCCUCGCCCUCUCCUUGUGUAAAUUAUUAUUGGUGUGACCAAUGUUCCUACGCGAGUACUAUGGACUGUACUUGUGUCGUAUGCCAUAUGUAUAUUUUGUGGGGUCCGCAAAUAUUCUGGUGGCAUUCCUAAAUGUAGACCACCAUAACUAUUUGCAUUUCUCUCUCUCUAUAUAUAUCUAUCCCCUGGUUAAUUAUAUAGUAGGUCUCUUCACAGUAAUGUCAUAUAUGUGUGUAUACAUGACAAACCGGCAUCCUCUUCCUUCGAUCCAUUGAGUAGUCCUAGUAGGCUCUAUAUCGAUUAUUUGCUUUUGUGUAUAAUAUCCUCAAGAUAUGCAAUGCCCAAUAUAUUUUCGAGAUAAAUAUUCUAGCAAAUGCAUAUGUGUUGUAAUAUGUAGAAAUUAUUUUCACCAUUUUUUGUAGGCACUAUGGAAGUAUACGACUCAUAUAUAUAUAUAUAUAUNNNNNNNNNNNNNNNNNNNNNNNNNNNNNNNNNNNNNNNNNNNNNNNNNNNNNNNNNNNNNNNNNNNNNNNNNNNNNNNNNNNNNNNNNNNNNNNNNNNNNNNNNNNNNNNNNNNNNNNNNNNNNNNNNNNNNNNNNNNNNNNNNNNNNNNNNNNNNNNNNNNNNNNNNNNNNNNNNNNNNNNNNNNNNNNNNNNNNNNNNNNNNNNNNNNNNNNNNNNNNNNNNNNNNNNNNNNNNNNNNNNNNNNNNNNNNNNNNNNNNNNNNNNNNNNNNNNNNNNNNNNNNNNNNNNNNNNNNNNNNNNNNNNNNNNNNNNNNNNNNNNNNNNNNNNNNNNNNNNNNNNNNNNNNNNNNNNNNNNNNNNNNNNNNNNNNNNNNNNNNUAUAUAUAUAUAUAUAUAGGGUGGGUCUAUUCUUAUAACAUCCCUUAAGACCUUAUUCUGCUAACACCCACGCUUAUUCUGCAAACCACCACCAGAUCGCCGCCGCCCCUCCCCUCCCUGCNNNNNNNNNNNNNNNNNNNNNNNNNNNNNNNNNNNNNNNNNNNNNNNNNNNNNNNNNNNNNNNNNNNNNNNNNNNNNNNNNNNNNNNNNNNNNNNNNNNNNNNNNNNNNNNNNNNNNNNNNNNNNNNNNNNNNNNNNNNNNNNNNNNNNNNNNNNNNNNNNNNNNNNNNNNNNNNNNNNNNNNNNNNNNNNNNNNNNNNNNNNNNNNNNNNNNNNNNNNNNNNNNNNNNNNNNNNNNNNNNNNNNNNNNNNNNNNNNNNNNNNNNNNNNNNNNNNNNNNNNNNNNNNNNNNNNNNNNNNNNNNNNNNNNNNNNNNNNNNNNNNNNNCGCCCCUCCCCUCCCUGCCUUCUAUCACGACAGCGGCCUGGGAGCGUCGCCGCCCCUCCCUCCACGCCUUCUGGCGCGACGGCGGGCUCGGGGCACCGACGCCCCGCCCCUCCCCGCCUUCUUCCAUGCCAGUAGCCUGGCAGCCCCGACGCCCCUCCCCUCCCUGCCUUCAUCUGCGACAACAGCGUGGGAGCUUCUCCACCCUCCCCUCCCGACAUCAUUCUGCGCCGACGGCAUGGUGCGAUGCCGCCCCUCCCCUCCUGGCCUUCUCCCGUAGCGAUGGCCUAUGGACGCAGUCGCCCGUCCCCUUCCGGUUUUCUCCCGUGGCGGCGGCCUUCCCCCGAUUGCAAAUUUCCCCUCUUCCAUGUCAGCAGCUCGGUGGCGCCGCCGCCAAUCUCCUCCGGGCCUUCUUUGACGGUGUUGAGCCCUGCGUCUCCAAUUACCUGUCCUUCAUCAGAUGUGGAUUGGUGCUGCCUCGACAUAGCACCAAUUUGAGAAAGGAGGACUGUGCCCAAGGUUCCUUCAUCCAUACCAACUUCUUGGGUAAAGGCUACAACGACCUACAAUGCAAAUCCUCCGUCUCCACUCACCUUGAGCAACGUCCAAAACAUUCAUGAAUUCCUGAAGGGAAACAUGAAUACACAGUUGAACACAAGAGUGCUGCAAACGAAUGUGAGGGGAACUUCCUCCUACAAAUGCAAGAAAGCACUGCAACACAAGGUAAGCACUAUACUUCUUCACGUAUCUCGGUAUACUUAUUCUAGACAAAGUAGUUGAUACAGUCCAGUACAUCGACAAAAACGAAGCAGUGCGGUUACUUCUCCUCACCAUAAUAAAAAUUUCAGUGUAGUUGCUCGAUUAUGUAGUACGGUUGUAUAUGUUCACUAUGGAAAAUGACACAGUGCAAUUACUUUAGUUCACCCUGCUCGAUGAUGCAAUCCGUGUGCAUUAGUUUGCAGUGCCCUCUUAAAGAAAAUGCAGUUCGUAUUAUUCAGUUUGCUUUACCUGACUAUGCAGCUCGGCCAUUUUGUGCAGGAAAUGACGUUCACAACAAACAAAAUGCCGCACUUAAUUGACAACCCAGGAACCAUUAACUUUCUGAAGAGUCAAGAUUUUUCCACAAGAGACACUAGCUGGAUUACCCCUGAGAUACCUCGAGGGUUCUUCAGGACAACAAACAAGGUGAAAUACUCUCCAGAAGAAGAUUUCUUCCAGGAGCAAGAGGUAGUCAAAGAUGGCAACAAUGUCACCAUCAUUUAGCAGGGCGCUCACCAACAUAAUGAUGAAGAUGAUGACGAAGAAGAUGAGCGAAUAACAGUUCUCAACCCAUAGUACAAGCACGAGUUCACUAUAUUUGGACAACAUGUCUGAACAGACAACAAUGAUGUUGUUGACCAUGAUGUUGCAGAACAUGAUGAUUAUGAUGAUGUGCCGCCGCUCCAGCAAUUUCAAACGAAUCAUUGAUACACCACCACAACACUAGAUUACCACCGUGUCCACCUGCUGCACCACAAAAUAAAGCUCAGCAUGCACCUAUUGCACGACCAAAAAGAGCUCAGCGUGCACCUGCUGCAUCGAGAAACAUAGGUAUGAAUGCACCUGCUGCAAGAAGUGCAACACUACAACCACCAAGGGUGCCUCGAUCAGAAGUCAACGGCAGGUACAAGUCCUCCUCACUACUGCCACCACGAGAUACUAAACUACACAGAUCUUCUAUAACCCCACCAUGUCCAAUACAACCCGACGAGCUGCCAACGCCAUCGGAUGAAUGACAUUACACACAUGUAAGUUCAUGUCCUAAAAAAAUAUUAUUUGCAGUCCAUUGAGAUAACAUUGCACUACACACUGACAUUUAAUGUGAAGUUUGCCCUAACAUCUAAUAUAGUCGAAUCUUCUAAAAACUUAGUAACAUUGCAAUGCUUUCUUAACUCGUAUGCAGUCCUCGUAUUUUAACAAAACAAUGCACAUUAUCUCAUAGAGAAUUUCAAUUGAUGCAGAGUGUGGCAGAUUAUGACCAGAAACAUGAGAAGACAUCCAAAGGGAUUGGCUGCAAGGCAAGAAUUAGAGUCGGAAAUAGGAAGAAUGUGACUUUUGGGAUAGAAAUGGUUGAGGUCAACGAAAAUCACAAGAUGCUAGAAAACUGAGGGAUCCUUUUGCACAUGCACUCACACAAAUGAGACGAUCCUUUCAUUGACUAGUUGGUGAAGGACAUGUAACUGGACAACCACACACACGCACAAAAUGAUAGCAAUGUUGUCGCAUAUCUCCAGUGGUGUGUAAUUCAUGGGACAUACUAGUCGUGACUGUUUCAACAAGUUAGCAUAACACAGAGCAUAUCGCUUGAGAAUUCUAUGGGUAAUUAUUUCCUGUUUUAUAAGAUGAGUUUGCAUUGCCUUUGAAAUGUAGGAAACGGAAGUUUGGUAGAGAAGAGUCUCAAGAUGACGUCAAGCAACUUAUGGAUUUCUUUGAGAAGAUGAAGAAGAUCAACCCAGAAUUGUCCUAUGAUUACGGGUGUAUGCCAAUAAUCGUGUAAGAAACAUCUUUUGGGCCAACACAAGUUGUCGAGGAUCAUACGAAGAUUUCGGAGACUGCAUUACAUUUGGAACAACAUAUAAAACUAACAAAUUCCACAUGCCGCUGGGAGUCUUCGUGGUAGUAAACCAUCAUCUACAGAGCAACAUAUUCGUUGUCGCCGUUAUGCAAGAAGAAACAAUACCGUUGUUUGAGUGGGUUUUCAAAACAUUCUUGAGGUGUAUUAACUACAAGCCAUCAAUUUGCAUGCUCACAGGUACAAAUACAACACCUAUAUACUUAAGUUUCUUUAGGACACUUAUAUUUCUUCCGUCUUUCUUACACAUAAACUAAUUAAUAAAAGUACAAUACUUGUGCCUCUCACACCAAUGUUCUUGGAUGGCGGAAGCAUUAAAAACUAGCUUCCCAGAUACAUUGCAUAAGUUGUGUCGGUCGCACAUUCUGAAGAAGUACAAAGACCACCUCGCUUUGUUGUAUAAGUCGCACGAUAAAAUCAAGGAUGAACUCACUAUGGUGCUAAACCACCCACUAAUGUCGUCAGAAUUUGAAUGGUCAUGGACGGACCUCAUGUGGAAAUACAACUUGCAAAACGACAAAGUGAUGAAUUCGCUCUAGGAUGACAUGCACGAGUGGAUCUCAGCUUACUACAAGGAAAUUUUGUAUGCUCGGAUGACUUCCACGCAAAGAAACGAAAACAUGAAUCGUAUAUUGGAAAAAAAACUUCGUCAAAGAGAAUCAUGAUCUCCAUCUGUUUUCUCAACAGGUCGACAAGUGCAUUUACCCGAGGAAGGCCGUCGAGAACGUAGAGACAGUUGCAACUGAGGUAAAAUAAAAUGUCCACAAAAACUGCUAAAUUACUAUAAAAACAAACAAUAUAUUAAGUUCUCCCAUUCGUAAAACUUAAUUGCUGAUCAUGCAGUCCGAGGUAAAGACAACAACCAAGUUUGGGUUCGAAGUUCAGCUGUCGAAAGUAUACACAAGGGUAGUUUUUGCAUAUUUAAAAGAAACACUCUAUCGCAGCACUACAUUCAGAGCAAAACAAUGCACUUAGAACCCAAAAAAUUACCACCUACACCACUACAAUAGAUCGGAUGCAUUUGAUUGGGCAAGGCAUGAAUGCCAUGUGGUCACCGACGAAAAGGACGGUGUCCAUGAAUGUGAAUGCAAACUCUAGACACACACAAGUGUGGCUCGCUAGCACAAAAAAUCUUAAUUUCUAAAAGUUAUGCAUGAAGCUCACUUACUAAAAUUUAAAACCAAAAGUGAAGUUCACUUCCUCAAAAUGAACAAAUAACAAAAAAAUCUAUGUUUAUUAAUUUCAGGCAGUUCACUUACAAAACAAAGAAACAUGUGUUGUUUGUAGGGCUCCUUUGCGUACAUGUGCUAUGCAUGCUCCAUCACCUGAGUGUAGACAAGAUUCUUGAGGUGUAAAUCAUGAAAGAUACACCCGAAACUCAAGAUCAAAUCCGAUGAUUGACAGACGAGACUACGAACAAACAACACCAGAUGGAAGUUCACUAUUUUGCCAUAGAAAAUUGUUGUCAGAAAUAACAAUGGACCUUGCAAAGAUAGGGACAAGGUGCGACGCCGGGUACCAUAGGGCGUUGUCUGGUAUGAGGUUACUGAUCGAGGAACUUGAUAUGCUGAAUGAAGAAGAAGAAGAAGAAGAAGAAGCAAAAAUAAAAGAAGCAUAGAAUUCCUAUCUUGACAAGAAUACCGAGCAAGUAGAAGAUGCCGAACACAACGCUACUCGUGCAAUAAAAAACAAACAAUUCGUCCACAACCUGUUUCAAACAGGAGAGGGCAGAAGAAAAAGGGCGGUGCAACAAAAAAAAGGUUGCCUGCAAGGAGAAAAAUGAUGACAAAAAUAGUAAGCCACAACCUAAGCUGGAUAGUGAUGGUCGGCCACUGGGAAUAAGAGGGUGCAAGUCAUGUAAUACCAUCAACGGCCACAAUUCCAGGACACGUAGAAGAAAACAUGAACAACAAAACCAUGACCAUGGCGAUGCACAGCCAAAUAGAGAUUCCGCCUAGUUCACUGAGAAAUGGAUGAAACCGAGACUUUGUAGCAUUAGCAAAAAAGAGGAAGAGAAAUAACUCAAGAACCUGCCCCAAAAUAACAAGAUCACAAAACGAGGAAGACAAAGAAGAUGAAAUCAUAGUAAAAGAUGGUGAUACAACUGAAGAAGAAGUGGCUUAUGAAGAAGCAGAUGAAGCAGAGGAGGAGAAAUAAGAAGAGAGUGAAGAUGACGAACAAACAAUGCCCACAAAACCACAAAACAAGAAACCGAAAACAGAAGGGAAUGCUGUUGUACAAAAAAAUUGAGAAGGACACAACAAACAAAAAACAAGGUAGGAGUAUGAAAGUAUGUUGUUCACAGUGCUAGAAAACAAAAACUGCCAUCAACCAGCACAUGAGGAGAAGAGAAGAUUGUAGUUCACAGUGCUGGAAAGCAAAAAAACGCCAUCAAAUGCCAGGCAAGGGGCUACAAACCCAAUGGUGAAAACACUAUAAGCAGCAACACCGCCACGGAAAGCAAGACAAAGUGCAACAUUAAAUGCAAUCCAGUCACCGCGAAGAAGCAACGGGUUAAUGACAAAAUAAAUACAGUUCAAUAAAUUAAUCAUAUAUAUAGCGGUUUGCAUAUUUGUAUGACCUUUGUAGUGGGUUCAUCCACUAAACCAUUCGAGAGAAAUGAUGUAUGGAGAAAACCAUAUACAUAGUAGUCUGGGGUAAGCAUUGACGCACUCUCAUCCACAAACCAUAAAAAGCAAUGCAGUUACCUCAUAUAUAGCACAAAGUUCACAGCUAUAUGCCAGGUGGUUGAGAUCACAAAAGUACUAAUUACAAUCGCAUCAAAAAAUGAAGAAUUCCAUACAAAAAAGUACUUAUUACAAUCAAGCUCAUAAUCUUUACCAAUCACGUUAAACCUGAUUUUAAUCAAAUGAUCAUCGGGUUCAAAAUAGUUGAGGACAACAACUUGUUGAGACUUCAGGCCAUUUCAAUGACAAAUUCCUUAUUCCUUCUAGCCUUUCUGGAGAUACAGUCGCUCAUCAACGCCUACACAGUACUUGACUGGAGUAGGGUGUCAAUUCUCGAGAUUAACAUGGAGAAUACCAUUCUUCUUGAGACAAAGAUACCUAACAACUCAUUGGGGAUUUUCUGCAAAAAUAUAACAUAACCGUUAGAUGAUGAUACUGGUAGUACAAUUCUCAUAUUGUGCACAUAGCAGAAACAAACCAACACACAGAACAGAAACGAGCUAGAUGAAGUGCACAAACACACUAACAAGCAGUAUAGAUAAAAUGCACACAUAGUUCCUAAAACUCUUAUGUAAGAGAGGUACAUGCAGUAGGGAACAUGUUAAACUACAGUACGCUUGUAACUGUCAUGUAUAGGGGUGGGCAUAAAAACCAACGAACCGAACACCGAACCAAAACCGAUUUUUCAUUGGUACAAGUAAUUUCGGUAUUUACUUCUAAGAACCGAACUAAGUUCGGUCAGUUUGCUUUGACAUUCGGUUAGCCGAAAUACUACCGAACUGUAGGUGAAACAGUAUGCAGAUAACGUGAAUCACUUUCCAAGGUUGAACCAACGAUGUUGUCUAUUUUUUUCUCGUAUACCCAGCCACCCCACUUCCCUGGAAUCUUGGGUCAAGGCUAGCAACCCAACAGCUCACUAGCCCACGUUCAACUAGGACACAUCGGACGUGAGUUAUGUGGACCUUGGGACGACCUCCUACAUGUCUGACAGCCCAACAACUAAGGAAAUUCUAGCGGGCGUGAGAGGGAACGAGGAGAACUUUAGUCCCACCUCACGUGACUAAGGGGAAAAGGCUAAGAAUUUUUCCUAUAUAAUAGGUUGCUGCUCCUGUAUUUGAAGCACAUUCGGUAUAAACCAAAAACCAUAUCGAAUUAACCGGUUAACUGAAAUUUUGGUUAUUUGUUUCACAUUGUUAUUUUCGGUUUCUAAUUUUGUUAACCGUAUUUAAAAAAACGAUUGGUAGAAACCGAAUUUUCGGUUUAUACCGAACGCCCAGGCCUAGUCAUGUAGUUCGUAAAUAUUGUUGUAUGUAGUUCACACAGUACACGAGGGAAAAAUGUACAAGCUGGUGGUGCUCAUUUCAUACCUAUGAAGUUCAAAUCUUGCAACCAUGUAGUACGAACUCUAUAUUCAUGGAGCAUCAUAGUACAUGCAAAACAAACACGAGCUCCAUACACGCGAGGAAUAAAAUAAAAACAAGAUAUAAGAACAUAGUGUAGUACACUUCAAUAAGCAAAAUAAGUAAACUCCUAAUGUACUAGAAAUUUAGAAAAGUAUGGAAUUAUACAAAAUAAUAAAAGUCACAAAGAAAAACCAGAUCAAACGAAAAUUACUAUCUUGUAGUGAGUAUCCACGCCUAUGGGCAUACAUUGAUGGAAAAAAGGACUUGUGCGGCCAAGGCCACAGGGAAGCAGGGCGGGAUAGAACUCAACGACAUUGACAUGGUCCACAUCCAAUCCGUCCAUGAAAAUUGUGUCGUAUGCAAGCUGCUCUGCACGCCUAGCUAGGCACAAGACCUUGACCGCUCGGCGAGCACGACUGUCCUGCGAGAAAGUGAAGCAAUCGCGGUGCCUCGACACACCACAACCAUGGCCAUAGCAGGAGAGAUCCGCGCAAGGGUGUGGAGCCAUCACAACAGACCGUAGAAAAUGAAAAGAAAGAAAUGGAGACUGGAGGAAGGAGAGAAGUUGCGGCUAUAGGGGAAAUGAAAUGCAAACAACGGGUAGAAGUUGGCCUAAACAUAUACAAGAGGAAUGCAAAGAGUCUAGACAUGCAAAAAAUAAAACUGAAAAUUGAAUGAUAGUUAAUAAAAGUUAUGCUAUCAAGAAUGAAGGAUAAUAAAUAAAACAUACGUUACCAAGAAAAAGGAAGACCAAAAAAAGGUGUGCUUUGAGUGCAGCAUCUCCCACCCACUAAACACAACUCAUUAAUAUUUACAUUUCUAAAAAAUUAUAAUUCGCAAACAAUCCUAAACAAAAGGUGAAUGCAGUUCAAAAAACUAAUAUUAGAUAAUGCACAAGGUGUGUAGAUCUAGUGCAAGAGAAAGUGCACUCGACGGGAAAAAUAUUUAAAAAGAUUGACCGCUCACUAAAUGCAGCUCAUUAAUGUUUAUACUUCUAAAAACUAUAAAUCGUAAACCAUCCUAAACAAAUGUUGAAUGCAGUUCAGGAAAGUAAUAUCAGGGAGUGCACAAAGUGUGUAGAUGAAGUGCAAGAGAAAGUGCAUUGGACGGAAAAAUAAAAUAAUAUGGACUGCCUAGGUGCAACCAGGACCGCACUAGUAAAUGCGAGUCUGUUUUGCGCCGCGAGGCAUGGCACACAAGGGCCCUUAGGUCAGGGGCAGGGAGCGCCGUGUAUAAGCGCCCAAUCACUAAAUAUAGGAGUUUGAAACAGUUGCCUGGUCGUGGCUUAUAAGCCGGUCGCGAGCGCUGUCGGUUGGCGAGGUGGGACUAAACCUAAGCGCAUACACACAACGCAACGUAAAGCUCACUUUUCCCGUACCGGCAGACCUACUUGGGCCGAAGGCAUCUUCGCUCCCAAAGACUUUCCCAACACGGAAGACUAAUUAAAAUACCAUGGUCCACUAAAAUAAAAGAGUGACUACCAAAAAACAGGAAAAAUACAAAAGUUCUUCUAAACGAAAAACCACAACAAAAAAUGUGUGCGGGAAUUGUGAGAAACUGCACUUCGUUCUGAUAAAUAAAUAAAGGGAGCCCCAAGUAAACAUACAAAUGCAGUCUACAGCCUGCAGUAAUGCAAUUCGUCCAGUUGAAGCAGGAACUACAUUGCAGUUCCGUUAAAAUAAAGAAUGCAACCCGGUUAGUUAAGCAAAGCAGUCUUGUACCCCUAUCCACACAACACUCCAACCCAACAAUUUUUUUAUCAGUGUCAUCAAUAAAAAUAAGAAAAUUAAAAAUGAACCCCAUCAAAAAAGCAGUGCGCUUACAUCUGUAUGAAUUUUGAGAUCUGAUAUAGUAAAGUAUAUGAAGAAUAAAAUCAGUUGCAUGCAGUACAAUUUAUAGACAUAAGCAGUUCUAUCAAGAUAUCCAAGAAGUGCACUUAGUAAGAAAAUCCACCAAGAAACACAAACAUCUCAUUUCUAACAGUUGCAAGACCACAUGAAGUUGUGACAAGCAAAAACACGCGUAAGCAUCACAUAUACAAAACACGUUUACUACUAAUAAAGUUCCGCAUCACCACGACCAACGCAGCUAAUUUUUAUGUAUAACUUAUCAUACGAAAGUAGGACUAUAGAUGCUGAAUGUAGUUCACAAGAGUACACUCGCAAAGUGCAUAGUUUGGGUACAUGAAUAUCACAAAGAUAACUCAAGUGCGGUAAGAUCAGUGUGCAACAUUGGUACGUGCAGUACGGAGCAUGACAAAAGGUCUUCUUAUGAAAAAUAAAUAAAAAGAAUGACCACCCAGGUGCGAACAGUCCCGAGCCAGUCUCCUAGUAAGGCAACCCCCACACAGUUACGCAGGCGCGCCCGUUUCAAGCCACGAUGCGUGGGGACACGAACGCACAAGGGCCCACUGGUCAUGGUGUAUGGAGCAGCGAGCGUUGUGUGUAAGCGCCCAACAGUUGUACAAAGGAGUUUAGAACAACGCCUCGCCAGCGCUUAUGAAUAGGUCGCGCUGUCCUUCCGCGGGCAAGGUUGGAAUAAACCUUGGCACAUUCGCACGACGCACCGUGAAGCUACAGUGCUGACAUGCCUAUAUGGGCUUAAUGACAUUUACUCGUAAGAACAAGGCCCAGAAACGUCUCCGCUAUGGAUAUAACUUUUCUCAAAAUCCACGGCAUAAGUGUUUGUGAAUAAAAUGACAUAAGUAAGAAUGCAGUAAGAGGCCUUUUUACGAAAGGCAAGGCAGUGCUAAUUCCUUUAGAAUGCAGUUCUGUGAUAGCAUGGCUUACAAGGGAUGAUAGACUACUCAUAUCAAUAAGGGAUUCCUUCUUUUCCACGAGCCCAUUAGACUAGUAUUGAUAUGUGGGGUCAGUAUAGAUCCCGCUAGGAGUAACGACCAUUGGCGGGUGUGUCAAGGGCGUUAUAAGUUCUUUGUUUACAAAACAACACUACGGUUCCUAAAAAAUAAGGAACAUCCCCUAUACUAGUAUGAGUGAAAACAAAGCACAACGCCUAUAUUACUAUGGAAUAGAGUCUCUCGUAUAAUACCGUAUGCUCACAAAACACUAAGGUACAAGAAGUACAGUAAGUACACAAAGGCAGUCCUUUUCGAUUUUCUAGGCAGUGUAGAUAGUUAUCAUUUGCAUGCGAAAAAAGAGGGACACCGUUUCUAAUUUUGUGGCCACUAACAAAACAUACACCCCACUCACGUCCUCUCUUCAGCUUCCAUGUUAUGCCUGACACCACCACCCCACCAGUAUACGUGAAAAAUCACAAAUGCUUCGUCCCCGAAAAACCCCAUCGCCCCUUCAUCUCCCCCGACUACCACACAGAGCGCACGUCCACUACCCCCACUACCACGCCGAGCCCGCGUCCAACUGCCUUCUCCAUGACCCAAACCAAGCCACCAAAAGUUACAUCUGCUUCCAUUCCCGCUCCAUUCCAGAAACACAAUUGCCGCUCCAUCUCAACUAGCCACUCCCCACAACAUCUCUGUCUCAAGCCCUCCAUGAAUUGUGGAUUUAUGAUCAGAUUAUCUAUAAAUAUUAUUUGAGUUUCUUCUGAUCUCUCUUAUGCAUGAUUUCAUAUCCUUGUAAUUCUCUUCGAGUUGUGGGUUUUGUUUGGCCAACUAGAUCUAUGAUUCUUGCAAUGGGAGAAGUGCUUGGUUUUCGGUUCAUACUGUGCGGUGACCUCACCCAGUGACAGAAGGGGUAGCGAGGCACGCAUCAUGUUGUGGCCAUCAAGGGUAAAAAUAUGGGGUUUUCAUCAUUGGUUUGAGUUUAUCCCUCUACAUCAUGUCAUCUUGCUUAAGGCGUUACUCUGUUCGUCAUGAACUCAAUACAUAGAUGCAUGCUGGAUAGCGGUCGAUGUCUGGAGUAAUAGUAGUAGAUGCACAAAGUAUCGGUCUACUUGUCUCGGACGUGAUGCCUAUAUGUAUGAUCAUUGCCUUAGAUACCGUAAUGACUUUGCGCGGUUCUAUCAAUUGCUCGACAGUAAUUUGUUCACCCACCAUGAUAUUUGCUAUUUUGAGAGAAGCCUCUAGUGAACACUAUGGCCCCCGGCCCUACUCCACACCAUAUUUUCAGCCUUACACUUUUUCUUCGUUGCAUUUUCCGCCUUCAGAUCUCACUUUGCAAUCAACCUUGAAGGGAUUGACAACCCCUUUAAAGUGUUGGGUGCAAGCUCUUUUGUGUUUGCGCAGGUACUCUGGACUUGACGAGAUUCUCCUAAUGGAUUGAUACCUUGGUUCUCAAACUGAGGGAAAUACUUACUCUCCUGUGUUGCAUCACCCUUUCCUCUUCAAGGGAAAAACCAAUGCAAGCUCAAGAGACGACAGAAGGAUCUCUGGCACCAUUGCCGGGGAAGGACUUUUGUUUCCGUAGCAAGCCUCCAUGGAGUCCUACAUGAAAACCUGAUAACAUGGGGGGGGAACAUGGGAACACUCAGCCCAAAUUCAAAUCCAAAAUCAUUAAAUGCAGCUUAGAAAUAUAAAAAAGCGGUUCAGCAAGGAACAUAAUGCAGGCCACUUGUCUAGAACAAUGCAACAAAGUUGUCUAGAACAAUGCAUCACACUUACCCCGAAAAAUGCAGCCCACUUGCCCAUAAAAUACAGCUCACUUGUAUACAACAAUGCAACUCACUUACACAACAAAUAUGUAGCCCUCCACUGUCAAAAACAUGCAUUUCACUAACACAGUAACAAAUAAAAACCUUAAGAAGCAUAAGCAAGCAGUAGGCAAAAUAAAUAAGAGAAAUAAAGUCGUUCACUAACACAACAUUUAUCUUCAAAUAUUAGAAAUGAUGAUAAAUCAAAGGAACACUGUGUCGAGGUAAGCCAACUGUAGAGCAUGGCCUUUGUCAUGUAGCCAAUGUGUUCCACCCUAAACUAAGCAACUUGAACACCACCCCAAGUGUGCAACAAUUGAAACAUAUAGAAUCCACAAUCAUGCAUGUAGAGAAGAACAAAAACAUUAGCUUCACAUAAAUAUAAAAUAACAGUUGAGGGAUAUGGUGGGCGAAGGGUGACCAGAAAGCUACCCAUUUGACUGAAUUGGGACAACCACAUGCCUCAACAUUAAGCCAUCAAGUGUAGGAGGAUUUAACGUCUCAACGGAACUUGAGCUACCUUCUUUCCAUGCACGCUUGAUAUUUUUAACCAUCCUCCUAAAAACCCUGUUUGCUUUAGAGCUGCCAGUUUUAUUGAGCGAGUCAACAAAUUCAAACAGCCUUCCCUUCACAUACUAGGCAACUACACAAUAAUGGCCAACGCCAUCCCUCGUCUCUGGCGGAUCAAAUGUUGCAAACAGGCCCUGUUGGAAGUAAAAAUAAAUAGAAGUAUUAUAAGAACAAGAAAUUGAACACUAUAAAAAAACACACAAAAUGGUUUUGGACACAUAAAACAUUACUCACCAUAUCUUUUUUAUUGACAUGUUCCUCGGCUUUUGAAGAGAACACCAAUUUCACACUCCUACCCACACUAGCUACCACCAUACCAAAUACUUGACUACAAAAACAAAACCAAACAUGAAAUGAUGUUGAAGCAAACAUGUCAUCACACGAAAAUAGAAAAAAGAUAAUCAAAUAAGAAACAAAAAAGUUUUGCAUGUUACACAAAUAUGGAACACGACAACCAUCGUCGGAGAUCCCAUAAACUUAUCUACUACGAAAGAAACCCCAAAAUUUACGAGGCAUGUAGUGAGCAUCCAUCUAUUCCAAAAAGAUUGUCCAACUUCCCCAAUUGUAAUAUCAGCCAACUCAGUUUCAAAAGAAAUCUUGUCCCUGAAUUAAUAUUUUUUCAAAAAAUAAACACAAGAUACUAAAAAACAACAAGAACGAAAAAGGGCAAAAGACUCAGGCUGGAAAAUAAAAAUUAACAAAAAAAUAUAAAAAUCCAUACAUCUUCUUAUUGUCCCUCUGAGCCCUAGUAAGAGUAUUAUACAACUUGUUGUAUCUUUUGAGAAGAGCUGGGUCAAUGCUUGACGGUGUCACAACAGGCAGUUCAUCAUUUGUAAUAUAAAAUAAAGAACAAAUAAAAUAUGAAGUUCACCGACAUAAAAUAGGAAGUUCAGUUGUAACAUGUGGAAAUCUGCUAGCUAGCAACUAUUUUAAAUAAUCACCAACAUAGAAAAAGUCCACUUAUCAUUAAACAUUAGAUGUAGCUAACAUAGUAAUUAAAAAAUGAAUGAGAAAAUCUUCAACUUCACUAUUCGAAACAAAACACUGUCCUUCAGUGUUAGAUUCUUCAUGUUGUAGCUCUUCAGAUCUAGCCUAAAUAGUUUCUCCACUAGGUUGCGACGAAACCACCACAACCUCACUGCACUGCCCAACUAUAGCAAUAUCAGCGUUGCCCGUAUUUUCAACACUCUGGAUAACCACAACAUCCUCAAAUAACCCAACUCCAUGAGGCUCCACUCUAAAUACAUGAAGAACAUUGUUAGACGCCAGACAAAUAGGAGAACCGGCAACACUUUCAGGAGGGACGUCAUUCUCUAGUUACUUUUCAAUGUCAACAUCCACAUCUUCGUGCUGACUAUGGGAAACUUCAUGGUGGGAUUCCUGAGGUGAAGAAGGUUCUGCACUGUGAAAAACAACUGAUACAGAAGCAUCCACACCAUCACCACCAGCAACAACACAACUCCCCUGGUGCACAUCAACAUGCACAACGCCAAACGAUUGACGAACUUCUACAUUUUCAUCUCCAGGGUGCAAAACUGUAAAAAAGACACAAUAAAACAAAUGAGAGAGGGGAGAUUUAACACAACAACAUGCAGUUCACUUAUGUCAAAGACUGUGGAACACAUAUGUUAAAAGAACUGCAGUUCACUUCUGUCAAAAACUGAAGCUCACUUAUAAUAAAGACUGCAGCCCACAUGCGUAAAUUGAGCUGUAGUUCACUUAUGUCAAAAGACUGCAACACACAUAUGUCAAAAGAACUCCAUUUCACUUCCGUAAAAGACUAAAGAUCACUUAUAUCAAAGACUGCAUCCCACAUAUGUAAAUUGGACUACAGUUCACUUCUGUCAAAGACUGAAGCUCACUUAUGUCAAAGACUGCAGCACACAUAUGUAAAAAGAACUGUAGUUCACUUCACUCAAAGACUAAACCUCACACAUGUGAAACUAUGCAGCUCACAUAUGUAAGAUGAAUGCAUCUGAGUUAACGGAAACAGCGUACGUCUAGCUUAUAACAACAACAAUAAUUAGAUUACAACCAACUAACAAAAAAAGUAAUUCUACUAAACCUUAUCAACUACAACAUCUACAGGGGACGACACAUUAGCCAAGUCCUCAUCCUUCUCACAUCCGUUGUAAGAAUCCGUGUGCACAUCACAAGCGGCAACUCGAGACUACACACACAGAACAAACAAAAACGAAAUAAGAUGGUAACGAUCAAAAUAGGAUAAAAAACUACAAUUAUGCACAAGCAGUACACAUUUUACAAAAUAGGAGGUACACAAAAAUAAAAUAAAAUGGAAAGCAAAAAAUACAAGUUCAAGAGGAGAAGCACGUAGCAGAACAUGUAUGGGAGAAGUACUUAUACCUGUCCAAGUCCAACAUCACCUGAUGUGUGAAGACCACCAGGUUCCACUCCAGCCUAUAACAAAAACAAAGAGCGAGCAGCAGUCCACACGAUACACAAAAACAGGUUCAAAUGGACAAACAAAGGACAAUGUACAUUAUCAGUGGGCGCACCGGCAUCGUGUCGGUUCAUUUCUUCCAAAAUGUGCUGAGCACCCUUCUCAUACCGAGUGCAUUUUACUUCAUGUGGAUCUUUUAACUCAGCAUUCAAAGACCGAAUAUUCGUCACUGCAAUCUUCAAGCUUUCAACCACACCAUAGUCAAAGUUGUGGGCAGCAAUAGUAUCUUCUUCGCGGGGCCAUGGCCAGCAGGGAAAAAUCCAGCAACUUUCUUCAACCUAUCACAAGACGUUGUCAAAUCUUCAGUUAACUAAAAAACCUUUAGAAGAAGCUCAUCAAUCUACUCGUGUUUUUUGCCGCCAAAAAAUGUUUGUUCAGAAGAGAUUCUAUUAUCAAACAUCCGACGAGCCAUGAAACCACGAGUAGGCGGUGGCUCAUCAUCACACGCAGGAAGCUGGCUACAGAUAGGCUAACACAACAUACCAUGACUGUUAGGCCUCGCAUCAGAGCUGCCACGUAGCACUGUAGCAAGACGGUAGUACACAAUAUCGCCUGACGCCUUCCACUUCAAAAAAGAUAAAAUGGGAAAUAACUACACAUGUGAAUACUAGAAAGUUCAAAUUUAUAAUGACUAAAUUUUUUAAAAAAACUAAUGCACUAACCGCAGCCUCCCAAAUCUGUAAUUUUCCAGAUAAAUCUUUCCCUUGAAAACUAUAUCCUUGUUGUAUAACUUCAUUAGUUCCUUGUUCUUCAGGAAUGACGCAAGUGGUGUCAAUGUGUGGAUAAGUGAAAAUUUGCGAAGCUUAAAGCAAUCAAGAUACAUAAUAAGGGGCACAAUGGCAUAACCUCUACCAUCUGUCUGCCACUUCACCACAGCUACCUACCGCUCAUUAACAACAAGCUGACAAAAAGUCCAUCUGCACCAUAGCCGUAUAAUCCAUGUUCUCAAACAUGGCAGCAACUCUGCCCAAGAAAAUUGCAGGCCCACGGCACAACAAAUUCUGAUAAAGUAUCAAGAAGAAUACCUUGACAGCAAGAUCAACCAUCACAUGAUCAUCAUCCUCCACCAGCUCCGCCAGCUUCUGAACCAAGUCCUUGAGACCUAUACUUUGUGAAUCGUAAAAGCCCAGCUCAUCCUUGUGGGCAGAUAACGAGUCAUCAUGGCCACUGCUAGCAGGCAUGGGUGUAGUGUGAGGUCCCAUUGGAAAAGCAAACAUAUGAUGGACCGCAGCACGAUUGAUUUGAAGAACCCUCUCAUUCCCAAAGUCCACUGUCAUCAUCGCAGGGUCAGUCACUCCCAUUAGAUAGCACAUCAGAAUGUGCGACACAUUUUUCUUUACUAUCAACUCGAAGACAACGCCAAAGCCAGCGUCCCAAACACAAUUACAGUGUGCUCCUUUAAAUAAAGCAGUAACUUUGCACACAGUGGGGAGAGACAAAGGUACAGUCUUAUUAAAUCGAGCAUCAUCUCCCUCACCGUCAUCUACAGUCCCCUUGCUCUUACUAGUCUUUUCCGCCAUGUAAAGGAAAAUGUAGUCCACGUUAGAAGAUUAGCCAAAAAAGAUACAAAAAUGGCAGAUAGAAUAACAAUGAAAGAAACAAAUGCAGUCCACUUCAACAAACCUUUAGAACAACAUACGCCUCCCCAUCAGAGUCAGCAUCCUCCUCAACAUCGCCAUCAUCACAAGGCCGCUUAGAUUGUCUCUUAGAUGGAAAACAAUAUUUCAGUCUGCCAGUAUGAACAUUCCUCACAAAAUCAGCAAGCCUAAAGUCAUUAUCGCUAGAGUUGGGCCCUUCACUGACAUGUGGUCGCUUCCCCUAAGGAUCCUCUUACCAAGCUUGUUUAUGCAAGCAACACGAUGACUCCGCCGAGGAGUACCACCUUCCUCGGCAAUAAAAAUCAGCCUCUUCUUGAAUUUACCAAAUUUGGCACCCUUGGCACUGAUACGUCUCCAACGUAUCUAUAAUUUUUGAUGGUUCCAUGCUAUUAUCUUUUCAAACUUUGGAUGUUUUGUAUGCCUUUUAUAUCUUUUCUGGGACUAACUUAUUAUCUCAGUGCCAAGUGCCAGUUCCUGUUUUUUCCAUGUUUUUGACCCUUUUCGGAGGAGGAUUUUAAACGGUGUCCAAAUGAAAUAUAACUUCCGAAAAGAUUUUUUCUGGAACAGAAGAUAUGCACGGACUUGAGAACCAAGGCACAGCCCACCAGGGGACCCCACAAGCCCCCUAGGCGCGGCCAGGGGGCGCCUAGAAGUCUUGUGGGACCCCUGUGGCUCGUCUUCCCUACCUCUUCCGCCUAUAAAUUCAGGAAAAAUAUAAAACUACGCGAGAGAUCCACGAAAAUACUUUUCCGCCGCCGCAAGCUUCUGUCUCCGCUAUAUUCCAUCUGGGGCACAAUCUGGUGCCCUGUUUGAGGGGGGAUUCGGAUACGGAGGGCUUCUUCAUCAACACCAUGACCUCUUCGAUGAUGCGUGAGUAGUUCACCAUAGACCUACGGGUCCAUAGCUAGUAGCUAGAUGGCUUCUUCUCUCUCUUGGAUCUUUAAUACAAAGGUCUCCAUGAUCUUCAUGGAGAUCUAUCCGAUGUAAUCUUCUUUUGCUGUGUGUUUCUCGAGAUCCGAUGAAUUGUGGAUUUAUGAUCAGAUUAUCUAUGAAUCUUAUUUGACUUUCUUCUGAUCUCUUAUAUGCAUGAUUUCAUAUCCUUGUAAUUCUCUUCGAGUCGUGGGUUUUGUUUGGCCAACUUGAUCUAUGAUGUUUGCAAUGGGAGAAGUGCUUGGUUUUGGGUUCAUACCGUGCGGUGACCUCACCAAGUGACAGAAGGGGUAGCGAGGCACGCAUCAUGUUGUACCCAUCAAGGGUAAAAAGAUGGGGUUUACAUCAUUGGUUUGAGUUUAUCCCUCUACAUCAUGUCAUCUUGCUUAAGGCGUUACUCUGUUCGUCAUGAACUCAAUACACUAGAUGCAUGCUGGAUAGCGGUCGAUGUGUGGAGUAAUAGUAGUAGAUGCAGAAAGUAUCGGUCGACUUGUCUCGGACGUGAUGCCUAUAUGUCUGAUCAUUGCGUUAGAUAUCGUCAUGACUUUGCGCGGUUCUAUCAAUUGCUCGACAGUAAUUUGUUCAUCCACCGUAAUAUUUUCUAUUUUGAAAGAAGCCACUAGUGAACACUAUGGCCCCCGGGUCUACUUCACACCAUAUUUUUAGCCUUUCACUUUUACUUCGUUGCACUUUCCGCCUUCAGAUCUCACUUUGCAAUCAAUCUUGAAGGGAUUGAGAACCCCUUUAUAGCGUUGGGUGCAAGCUCGUUUGUGUUUGCGCAGGUACUCUGGACACAUGGCUUGAUUCUCCUACUGGAUUGAUACCUUGGUUCUCAAACUGAGGGAAAUACUUACUGCUCCUGUGCUGCAUCACCCUUUCCUCUUCAAGGGAAAAACCAACGCAAGCUCAAGAGACGGCCGUAACAGGCACCAUCUACAACCCUCCUCUACUUCUCUUUCUUCGCAUACUCCUUUGAGUCACUUUCUUUCAACCUUAACUUUUUAUUGCGUUGCUUCAACUCAUAUGCAUGAAGCUGAUCCGGGAUCAUCCACUCUUGCAUAACUUCCUCUAUUCCAUCAACAUAUUGUGAUCGAGUUUCAGAGAAGACGGGACGCCUACCGCUCUGUUCAAAGCUCACACUAACAUCACCCUUUGCAAAAUAAUGGUUAAUCAAUUGUGUAACCUCCUCAAACCCAAUACACACAUCCAUAUAAAUGCAGGGCUGCAAACACAAGCUAAACAAAAAACAAUACAGUUCACAAAUAAUUGUAAUGGAGUUAACCCAUCUGCAUACACAACCUGAAUAAAACGACAAUGAGGUUCACACAUACAUGUAGUCGAGUUCACAUAUACAUAUAAGUGCAGUGUUGCAUACACUAACUACAUGUUUGUUUCGGAAAAAAUGCUUGACUAACUUCAGCAAAGCAACAACAGUUUGUACAACAUCGAGUAAGCAACAUACAAAAUAAACAAAACAUGCACAUCAAAAAAAGCAAGUAUAUAUAAGAUCAAUGCAGUUCAAAACUCACAAAACACAAAUAUGAAAUAUACAAAGAAGAGAGUAAUACAACCAAUUUGGCAAACUAAAUAAGAAAAAGAACAAACAACAUACCAAAAGGAGCGGCCACAUUUAUAGGAGAACAUUCAAUUGGUGAAUUCACUUCAUUGCCUACCUUACCAACAUGAUCCUUGCCACCAGGAAUACGAGUGCCAAUUGGCGUAUCAUGAACAGUACCAUUAUGACAAGUGCAUCACAAUCACCUACUGCCUUAAAUAAAAUCAGAAAUAAAAAUUUAAAAACAUCACAUGACAAAUAAUGCCAGCGACGCUGAGAACUAACACAUCAUAAACAAAUAUUCAACAUGAACUAGACAAAUUGAUUAACAAGACAGAAAAUAAACAAGGCCAAUCAAGCACUCCACAUACCUUGAACUCGACCAUCUACUCUGCUUGGGGAAGACAUGGCGAUUGCGUGAAGCACAAGGCCAGAGUGACAAAUAUGAGCAACAAAAUCGACGAAAAAUGACUAAACCCUAGAUGCACCUUGCUCUGCCCAAAGAUCCCUCCAGACUAUGGACUUAAAAUCGAGAACAAAUCGCUUGGUGAUAUGUCUCCAACAUAUCUAUAACUUAUGUGCUGCACCAUCCCCUCCUCUUUGGGGAAAACAACAACGUAUAUCACAAGUAUUAGGAGUUCAAUGCUAGUUGUCGCAAGUUUCACAAUUAUUGCAUGGACAGAAUGUGAGAAGGAGAGGAUCAUAACAUUAUGCAAGUGCACUAUGGCAGUAAGCAUUGCAAUCACAUUUCGGGUACCAUCAGUGUGGUAACAGCUCGGAACCGACGCUCUAGAAGAUUCCCCUUUCUACUCAAUUGUCGUCGCGUGAUUUAUUUGGUUGUUGCAUUCAUCAUCGCAUCAUGGGCAUCAUCCGCAUUGCAUCGACACUCUGUUGUCAUUAUUUUUCCAAACUUGCAUCCGUUAUUAGUUGCGGUUCUCUCGACCGUUUCGAGACCAACCACACACACAUGCGCCCACGGCAUUGAUAAAAUAUUGUUUUUAAAAGUGUGUAUAAAACAUUCUCGGAUUGGGUUGCAAGUUGGCACGCGGUUGUUGGUGUCAAAACCGGCGGAUCUCUGGUAGGGGGUCCGAACUGCGGAUCUUGGAUUGAUGGGUAACAAGGGAUGAAGGACACGGUGUUUACCCAGGUUCAGGCCCUCUUGAUGGAGGUAAAACCCUACGUCAUGCUGCUGAUGAUAUAUCGAGUACAAACUUGAUCUACCUCGAGAUCAUAUGUUGUAGUCUAAACCCUAAUGAUGUAGAUGUUGUGUCUAAUGAAUAUCUGUCAACUAGCCUGGCCUCGGAUUUUAUAACAUACCGAAGACUAGGAUAACAAGAGUCCUAGUCGGCUACGUCAGUGUAGAGGAGUCCUUGUCUUCAUCACCACGUCUUGUGGAAUCUUACUCGUAUAUGUCAUCGGCUGCCUGAAGUAGCCUAGGAGUCCGUCCCGUAUAGAUAGGUCGGCAGCCUGAGGACCCCUUAGUCCCAGACUACCUCAAUAGCCCUCGAACUAGCCGCCAAUGCCGUAGCCUUGAUCCUUAGCAUCACGCAUCCAAAGUCUUCGUCUUAGGGGGCGAGUUCUUCUCCCCAUUUAUGUUCGACCAACACUAGUUCGCCCACCGAUGACUUCCUGAUUUACGAGCAUAGGUCUUUAAGUUGGGGAUGCUCCUCGGUUCUUUCGAACUGUUCCUCAUCUUCGGUCGUCGAUCUUGAAAACUCGUUCAACAAAUCUUCCCAUCACUGAUCUUGAGGAUCGCUAGGUUAAAUCAAAAGAGUUCACACGUCGGGCAUCCGAGGAACCUCGUUAAGUUAUCGGCCUUUAUUAGCCAUGUCAUUUUUUAUGCCACAACUUGGUUUUGAAAUGUUUCCCAUGUGGCGAUAUCCUCUUGCAUUCGAGCUCGAACGCCGAACUAGAUCCGAGGUGUUCUCUUGCGUCUGAGCUCCAACGCCGGAUUGCAUUCUAGGUGUUAUUUUGUAGCCAAGCUCCAACGCUCGUCGGCUUCCAAGGUGUCAUUGAUUACCUUGGUCUUUGAAAUAUGAUGGAAUUCAUCUGAGGUUAAAUGCCGAAAUAGUCUUUUAUGGAUCCAGCCAUUCGCAUCCAAACUAUAUGCCGAACUGCUUUCGAGGUGGUGCACCACCUCAGCCGUGGGCUCGUUAUUUGUGGAUAUAUAGCCAGUAGCCCUCAAGGUGCGUGUCGGUCUAGAACCUGAGAUGCACCUGCAGGAAGACAAACGUUGAUCCCAGUAGCCCAUGAGACUCAGGUCGAUUCGCAAAGUCGGCCUAAGGAUCAAUUCCUUGCUCGGCAACAAACAUUAGGAAUUAAAAUGCGGUGUGCAGUAGCCCCGGAGACUCUGGUUGUGUAUGGCCGGCCUACCUGACGAUCAAAUCUUCUCAGAAAAAGUAUUGCACUUGUUGUGUGUGUUUUGACAAUGCCAAUGUGCAGGCCGGCAGGGAAGAUGCUGAACUGCGGCUCGGAAAAGAUUUUCCAGUUGGUGUAAUUGAUUGUCUGACGAGCUGUAUAACCAGUAGCCCCGAGACUUGGGUUGGGCAACAUGGCCGACCGUAGGAUCGUAUCUCCUUGAGAACUAUUUCAUCCAUUAAGUGUAUUUUUACAACACUGAGGUGGAGCCCGUUAGGGAAGACGUCCAACUGUAGGUCAAGAAAAAUUCUCCGAACAAAAUCACCACGCAGAACACGUGGAAAUAGAAGAUGUGCCGCCUCCUGAAAGAAAAACAUAGAAAUAGGUUAAAGGUGCCAUAAGCUUGGCAAUACCAAAAACUUUAGCAAAACAUUAUAUUCCGAACUAAAUCAAGUUUCAUUCACGUGUGCAGUAGCCUCCGAGACUCAGGUUGGGUGCGGUCGACCGACCCGAGGUUUGAAUCUCCUCAGAAACCGUAUUGCACUUUGAAUUUUCUACAUUUACUAAGCAAUGCAGUAGCCCCCGGGCCUUUAUUUGGGCACGAGUGGUCGAAUUAAGGGUCAAUCUUUGCUUCAUACAAACUUUAUUAUAUUUGACACUUUUUAAGUGUAAUGAUUAUACGUAUCCAAGUACUUUACAUCAGUAAUGCUCGGACUGCAUUGUACAAUACUAUGUUGACCGAGCAUCAGCUUCAACCUCCUCGGCCAGUAGUCGAGGAGUGUUUGUCCUACUUUAUAAAGCCUUUAUAAGGUCAAAGAUUUACGGCAAACAAGGCAAUCCGGACAUAUGGUUUUAUAAACGAAGUUAUGUGGAGAGAUAUGUUAUAUUACUAUUUACCGUAAGAAAAAUCCUAUGGAAAAAUAGGAUCAUUUAUAAGUUCCAUUUCCCAAGAGAUCAUGUUGACCAUGAUCGUGAAACCUCAACUCUGAUCAAUGUGGGAGGAAAAUAUUGAGGAUUUAGUUUGGGGAAUGUUCCCGAACUUUGUGGUCGUUAAUGAACCGAAAUUUUUUACUUUUGUCUUUGCCGGCCGAUUAUAUUCUUAAGAUGGCUAGCUUUCGGCUUCAUGCACUCUGAGGUACUAACCCGAAUGAUCCAGAAUUUAGAAUCAUAGAGGUUCUCCCUUUACCACCUAGGCAAAUAAUUGGGAGCAUAUGGGGUAAGCACAGGAGCCAGGCAACCCAACUUGACCAAAAUCUUAAGUCAAAUUGAUUCAUAUUUUUGGCUUCAUAACGAUGAUUACGGAAGGCAGCACUCGCAUAUUUGUAUGUUAUAUACUAUUUUGACUCCUAUGUGACUGUUUAUCAUUUGAGAGUGGCCCAUCGUCUUCUUCUACCCCCUUUGUAGAUGCUAUGCAGGGUGUUUCCGCGGUAACAAGACAACCAUUAGCUGAUGUCUUGGUUCACAGAGGUGGUUGUGUUAGAGGAAACGAGGCAAUCAGAUAUCUAGGCUUUAUAACUCUCACUUAGUCAUAGGUGCUUAAAGUUUAGGAUGCCAGUUACUAGCCCCCGAUUAGUGUUUGGCGUCAGCCGAGGUCAAGCCAUUAACACUUCGACCAAUUUUUUGAAAAGCCCAUCUCUAUCGACCUAUAGUUUGACACGGUCAUCGGGCCGCUGGCAAGUUUAUACUCAUUGUGGUAGUCACUUUUUGGCUUUCUCCACUCAGGUACUUGACCAGUCAAAUCGGAAGUAAGAUCACAUUGGUUCUCCCUUUGCACACCUAGCCGAACAAAGCGGAACAUACGAGGCAAUCACAGGAGUCGGGCAACCCAACUAUUGAACGAAGACACAAUUUGAAAUUGAUGCACAUAAAGAAAAUCUGAGAAACUUAGGGGCAGGUCGGCACGGAAGAUGCCGAACUACAGGACGUUAAAUAUUUCCCCAACUGAAUUAUUACGUAGGGCACCUCGGUGAAGAGGAUGUUCCUCCUCUUAAAAAUAUUCAAGAGGUUAAAAGUUUCACAAGCUCGAAAAACCAAAAAAUUAGGUACGGACAUGACGUCUUAAUUAAAUCAAAUUUUUGGUUCCAAUCCAAAAUUGGUCUUUUUAAAAUUAAUAUGUGCUUCGGUCGUGCUUUAACAUGAUACAUCCUAUCUCCAGACUUCAAGCGGGUCAGCCUUCUAUUUUAACAUCCAUAUCCCGAAGGUGGAGUGUUUCUCCGAGGCCUAUCUAGCAAACUAAACUCGAGCGGCUUUAGAAAGAAACCAGGCUAUCGGGCUAUUGACCAAGCACUAGUGUCGGAAAAAGGAGUACUAGAAAAAGACUUUGCAACGACCAAAAGUAAAGAAAAAACAUUUAUUCAUAAAAUGUCUCAUAUAAAUUUAAGAGCCCCCAGUAAACGUGGAUAAAGGAACUGUUUGUUACAAACAACGUUUUUAACAAGCUAAGGUUUUAACAAAGAGCUUUUCUGUUAAACAGAAAUAUAAUUUAGUUGAACCACACAAAAUUAAAAAUUGAAAAACGUUGAGCGUGAAAUCGACUUAUCUGGUUGAUGUACUCGGUGUGACGUGGUCCGGGCUUGUAGAGGUCCGAGGUUACAUCCCCCAAUCCUGUCACGAGUUAGAUGAUGAAGAGUUUGGCUUGAUGAAGUGACGACACAAUACUUCAGAAAGGCCGAGGCAAAACCCUCGAACCAGCCGAGGAGACAAAGUAGUUCGGCAGUGUGACGGCAAAGCACCCACGUCAGUCGAUGACGCAAUUUGGUUGAUGGAGGUGUGAAGACGACGUUGGCGUGCCGAGGUGGCUGUCUAACACGAUCGAAGAUGAUCACCCGUGCACAUAAAAUAAUGCAAGCCAACAGUCAUAUCAAAUAAUAAUGAAUAUCCUCUACUUAAUGAAUUUAAGUGAAGUAAAUAUUUAGAAAAAAUAUAACCUAAUCCUCAUCUGGUCCUCAUGCUCAUCAGACGUUCUUUCACUUUUAUUCAGGAUGCCUGUGACAAAAGAAUGAUCCCUCAUCCUUGCGGGAAAAGGGGACUUUUCAUAUUCAACUGCAGGCAAGAUAGGGUCAACAACGUUAAUAUCAACAGGUAAUUACUUAAAAGGUUUAUGGUGUUGAUCCUCCUUCUUCUUAGAAGAGUCAAUAUGAGAGGCAAAGUCUUUGCAAAAAUCAAUUAGAAGAUGGGAAUCAAGAACAAUCUUAGCAUAAAAUGUACUGAAGUAACCAAUUUUCACAUAGCUCUCAAUGUAAUCACACUCAUAAUUUAUAACGGGUUCAAUACCUUUAUCAAUUUUCCAGUCUUCAGUGUUCUUCUGGAUCCUUUCAAUAAAAUCCCACUUAGCUUCAGUGCUUUUGUUGGAGAAUGCCCCACUAGAGGAAGCAUCAAGCAUCUCUUUAUCUUGACGAGAAAGCCUUGCAUAAAAAAAUGUAAGAAUAAUUUCUUUGGAGAGAUCAUGAUUGGGACAUUUGAGAAUUAAGGACUUCAGUCUCCCCCAAGCUUGAGCGAUGUUUUCUCCGUCAUGAGACCAAAAGUUAUAAAUAUAAUUCCUAUCUCGAUAUAUUUCAUGAAGAGGAUAAAACUUUGCAUAAAAGCGAGGCAUAAGAUCUUGCCAAUUUAGUAAAUGAGAGUCAUCAAGAAGCCUAUACCAAUCCAAAGCCUUAUCUUUCAAUGAUAGAGAGAAUAGCUUUCUCAUAACAAAAUCCAUCGAUAUACCUGCAAGCUUAAAUAAGGAGCAUAGUUGUCAAAGAUAUAGCAAGUGUUCACCUAGAUGUCUAUCUCCUGCAUAUCGAUUAGCCAAAACACAAUCAAUAAUACAAGUUGGUAUUUUAAAAGGCACAAUUUCAGUAGAUGGAGGAGCCUUCUCCACCACAAUAGCGUUGGGUCGGUUCCCCGCAAGCAACAAACCAAGAGAAGAGUGGUCCAUAGGGACAAAAAACGGCAACAGUAAAACAAAAACAGCAUGUGUAGUGUUAAGAUUUCCUUACCAAUUUCACUUACCAAUAGCGCUACACUCCCCGGCAAUGGCGCCAGAAAAUGGUCUUGAUGACCCACAAUUGUAUGGGAUCUAUCGUAGCCUUUUCGAUAAAUAAGAGUGUCGAACCCAACAAGGAGCAGAUGGUAUUGACAAGUGAUCUUGAGCAAGGAAUAACUGCAAGUACUGAAAGGUAACUUUUUAUGGGUUUUCUAGUAUAAGCAACAAGGAAAUAAAUGCAAGUAAAGUAAAUCGUGCCGAGGUGCACCAAGUGGCCCAAUCCUUUUAAACACAAAGGAUAAGACAAGGGACUAAACUUAUAAAGACUAAGGCAUUUCUGAGGACACACGGGAGAGAUAGUCAAGUGCUUCCGCCAUGCUCUGUCUAGUACUAUGUUUUGUAUUGAUAAGUGUUAUGUGCGCGGAUCUUAACUAGUGCAUCGUCUAGGCCAAGACAAGUACACUCUUAUUAUUAAUCCCUCUUGAAAGCAUCCACAAAUACAAGAGAGAAAUUAAGGCAAAGCCUCACCAUAGCAAUAAGCUUUAGGAUCCAAUACUCCCUCAUGCAAAAGUAUGGAAACUGGGGUUCAGGUUUCUGUCACUCUGGCAACCCACCAUAAGCAUUCUUUUUACACGAUGCAUUCCCCUAGGUCCUUCAAAAGGCGAAGUGUUAUGUAGUGGACGUUCACAUGACACCACUAGAAGAAUAACACCCUAACUUAAAUAUCAAUCAACACAUAUUACUUCAACAUCAUAUGACUACUAGCAUCUAGACUUUUCCGAUGUCCUCAAGAACUAUCGGAACUACUCACAAGACAUAAAAGAGAUCAUGAUCAGAGGUGAUGAAAGUAUGAUUUAUAAUCUGGUCAUAACAAUAAUUCUCCAAAAAAACUCAAUAGCUUUCACCACAAAGGAGUAAUCAACAAUGGUAGAGUAGAAGGGAUGAAUAGUGCAAGGUACAACUCCAAUUGCAAUGGUGAAGUAGAUGGGAUGAAGGUGGAGAUUGUGAUGGUGUUGGUGAUGAUGGUGAUGAUGAUCUCGAUGACGCCCGUGACGAUGGUGAUGACGACGAGGAUGAUCUCCCCUUCCGAGAGGAAUUCUCCCCGGCGGAAUAUGCCCACCGGAAAGGUCUUUUUCUCUAUAGGUUUCCACCGCACAGCGGCGGCGGAAUCGCGAAAACUUUUCUGUCGCCGAAACUUUUAGGUCAAGCGGAACAUAUAGGACAAAGGAGAGCACCGAAGGUUGGGCCCAUCACCCAGCCGGCCUCCUAGCGUGGCCUAGGGGGGGCCCGCCAGCAGGUCGCGUGGGUGACCAGUGGCCCCCCUCCGGCCCUUCUUUGGCAUGUCUUCGGGAUAUGUUCGGAAACUUCUUCCCUCAAAAUUUCACCACAAUUGGAGAUGUUCUGAUAUUGCAACUCUUCGUGCUAUUUUCUUCGCUGAAUCCUGCGUCUGCUAUUUCGGCAUCGGAAAGUUGUAAACUGUGUAAAAUAAGCCAAAACACUAUAAGUACACUAUCAUAAAGUGAAAUAUAUCAAUGAACAGAGACAAAUUAUGAUACAAAAUAGUGAUGCAUUUUGGACGUAUCAAUUCCCCCAAGCUUAGACCUCGCUUGUACCCAAGCGAAUACUGAUCAUGGUAAACGUGUCCAUAAGUUUAGAGAGUGAAGUGUCGAUAAAUAAUAAUACGGACAAGAAGCAUCAUAAUUUCUCUACUAAACUCAACCAUCCUCAACAGCAAUCUCAACUCAUAAGGCCCUUAUGAAAGAGUAAUAUCAAUUACAAUCAAAGGUAGAGCUAAGAAAACUCAUCAAACCAUGGCAAACAUGUCCUUGGUCAAAGAACAACUAGUAACUUUUAACUCUUGUUCUUCCUCUUAUAUUUUGAUGAGAUCAAUUGAAGCUUUUUGAAAGAACAUGUUAUUGGUCAAGAAGUUAAAAUGCUAACACAAAGGAAGAUGUUUUCUUUAGCUAGGCUUAACAAACAACUCACUUAUCUUAAUGAUAAUGUCAAUAAAGGUGUGAUAUGGCAAUUCUCAAUGGAACAAUAUAAAUGCAGGCAUCUUUGUCAACAUAAAGUGUGUGCUCUUUUCUGGAUAGAAAGAAGUAGGUUUACUGACUCAACAUAAAAGUGAAAGAUUGGCCCUUCGCGGAGGGAAGUAGGGAAAACUCAUGUGCUAGAGCUUUUUAGAGAUUUUGAAAUCAACAAACUUGUAAAACAAGCUUUUGAGAGGUGCAUGAUUUGUCAAUGAAUGCUAGUAGAUAGCCCAAUACUUCUCAUGCUAGACAAGUUUUGAGGAACGACUCCCAGAGUGGGGACGAUCACAUCCCCUUAGUCUCCUUUGUUUAUCACUACCAAAGUUUUCUGAUUUCUCAUCAACAAAGCGUGAAGGAGGUUUUGUUUGUUGUUAUUAUAUUUUAUGAGCUGGGCACGCUCAUGCCAGUCCCUUCUGGUAUUAGGGGUUUGUAGAUUAAACAUGCAAACCCAGGAUAAAACUUGUCCAGUAUGAGAAGAUCAUGAAUUAGAUACUACUUCCUCAUGAGCUAAAGCAGAGGCACAAAAUAGGGAGUAAUAUUUCAAGGUUUAAAGAUAGCACAUGAGUAAUAUACUUUAGGAGUGGCAGUGAAAUACCACGUAUAGGGAAGGUAUGGUGGACUCUUGGGAAGGUUGAGGUUUCAGGGUAUGGAUGCACAAGCAGUAUUCCCGCUAAGUGCAAGGGUUGGCUAGCAAAGGCUUUUGAGAGCAGACAAAUAAUAUUGACUUGGAUGUAAAACAAUAUAAAGUUUAACAUAAAGAAUUGCAUAAAACAUCAAAUUGUCUUCCUUGUCAGCAUAACACUUCAAGCAUAAGAACAUACCAGUAGCCAUACCUGAUGUGUAAGAUCAAUACUCCCAUAAGAAUCAACAUAUAAGAUCGAUUGUAUGAAUAGAAUAGCAAGUACAACAAUGAAACCAAUAGACUUCUCAUUAAUAUUCCGUCAUAGACACUUCACACUCACGGAUACAAACUAUCCACAAAGGUGUGAUAGACCUCAAUGCAAACACCUAUUUCAUAAGAUAACUUCCCUAAACAUGAUAUGACACUAAACUUGACCAUAAAAAGUAAAGGAUACAAAAUAAAGAUACCGGGGACUCCCCCAAGCUUGGAACAAGCUAAGGGAAUGCCAUUACCCAUGAAGAUUUCAUUUCUCAUCCUACUUGUUGUUCUUCAAUUCCUCUAUUAUGCGCCGAAGGGUUUUGUUUUCACCUUCCAAUAUGGCCACCUGUACUUUAAGCAUGCAAAAGUCUUCACAGAAUUGGUUAGUGAUUCUGUAAGCUUCGGAUAUAGUAGAUGACACACGUGGAGCUCCUGGUAGAGGGACAAUUUCUGAAAGAUUGAGAGAAAGAUCAUGUUGAAGGUUAAUAAACCCCACGAGGAUGGGGUUGUUAGAGCUGGAUCCUCGUGAUGAAGGGUCUCCUUCUUGCUUGGCGCUGACCAUAUUGACUUCCUCUCUCAUGUAGCACCUCAUCUCCGCUUUCUUGCAGCUAUCUCUUCACUGGUAUCCCAUCCGGUGACCUACCCUUGGUUGAUAUCUUGCUGGACAUGGUGGAGACGACGAGCUGUGUAGUCUUCCCCGCUUGAGUCACAAGAAGGCAUCUCGAACAAUGGCUUCUUAGCCUGGCAGAAAAAUAUCGAAAGAGAAAAUGCACGGAAUCGCAAGAUACAAAGCCGGGAUGAUCCGGGAAAAUAUAUAGGAAAAAUUUCUGCACCAAAAGGAAGGUAACAAGCCAAAGUAGGGUAGCAGACGAACUCCUGGUGGUCCAGCGGCCUCCUGGCGCGGCCAGGGGCUAGCCCGCGCCAGUAGGUCGCCUGGGUGACCUGGAGCUCCUGUCCGGCUCUGCUUCGGCUCGGAAUUUUCCUAAUUUUGCAGAAACACAUAAUACAGAACUUUUAUUGAUGUUCACAAAGUUUCCUUAUCGUAUCUCAUACCUUUUAUUAUUCUACUUCUGCUGAUGUGUGAUACAGUGUUGCAAUAUGUUCUUCGUGAGUGCCUACCUGUAUCACAUCCACCUCUACAUUGAUGGGGUAUCCAGCCAUGUAAUGCUCGAGUCUUUGCCCAUUCACAACAUGUGGUGUUGUGCCUUCAAAAUUAUUAAUCUUGAUUGCACCGGAGGAUUAGACUUCUUCGAUGUGGUACGGUCCUUCCCACUUGGAAAAUAAUUUACGUGGAGAAAACCAGAAACGAGAUUUAUACAAUAAAACUUUGUCACCAACAUUAAAUUCAUGUUUCAAAAUUCUCUUGUCAUGCCACUUCUUUACCUUUUCUUUGAACAUUUCUGCGCUCUCGUAAGCUUCACUUCUCCACUCAUCUAGAGAAGUCAAGUUCAUGAGACACUUUUCACCAGCAAGCUUUGGAUCAACAUUAAGCUCUCUAACGGUCCAGAAAGCUUUGUGCUCUAACAGAAGAGGUAGAUGACAUGCCUUUUCAUAAACCAUCUUAUAGGGAGACAUCCCCAUGGGAUUUUUGUAAGCAGUUCUAUACACCCACAAGGCAUCACCUAACUUAUUGGACCAGUCCUUUCUAGAAUUUUUCACUGUCUUUUGCAAGAUCAACUUGAUCUCUCUAUUUGUGAGCUCAACUUUCCCACUUGUUUGAGGGUGGUAAGGUGAAGCAAUUCUAUGAUUAACAUCAUAUUUUGCUAGAGCUUUUCUAAAAGCCCCGUGUGUAAAAUGUGGUCCUCCGUCGGUCAUGAGGUACCUAGGUACACCACACCUAGGGAAGAUUACAUCCUUGAGCAUUUUCAAAGAUGUCUUGUGAUCAACACUUUCGGUGGGGAUUUCUUCAACCCACUUGGUCACAUAAUCUACAACUACUAAGAUGUGAGUGUACGUGUGUGAAGGAGGGAAAGCACCCAUGAAAUCAAAACCCCACCAACCAAAAGGCUCAAUGACUAGCGAAUAAUUCAUAUGCAUCUCAUUCCUCCUACUAAUAUUACCAACUGUCUGGCACUUAUCACAGGAUAAAACGCAAUUUCUAGCAUCUUUAAAGAGAGUAGGACAAUAAAAAGCUGAUUGGAGAACCUUGUGUGCGGUCCUCUGACCGGCAUGAUGUCCUCCAUAAGGACUGCUAUGACAUUGUCUCAAAAUAUCCUUCUGCUCAUGCUCCAGUAUGCACCUCCUCACAAUUCCAUCUGCACCUUCUCUUAAAAGAUGUGGGUCAUCCCAAAAGUAAUACCUCAAGUCGUGGAAGAACUUCUUCCGUUGCUGGAAUGUUAAACCUGGAGGCAAAAACUUUGCAACAAUAAAGUGAGCAUAAUCUGCAUACCAUGGAUCUGAAUUAGAUUUCACCUGUAAAACAACUAAUUGUUCGUCAGGAAAACUAUCGUUGACUCGAAUGGGAUCAUGUGGUAUGUCCUCCAUCCUGGAAAGGUUGUCUGCUACAUGGUUGUCUACUCCUUUCCUAUCAACAAUAUGCAAAUCAAAUUCUUGAAGAAGAAGGACCCAUCGGAUAAUCCUUGGUUUGGCAUCCUUCUUUUCCAUAAGAUACUUAAUAGCAGCAUGAUGAGUAUGAAUGAUGACUUUAGAAUCAACAAUGUAAGACCUAAACUUAUCGCAAGAAAACACUACCGCUAAAAUUUCUUUCUCAGUACUAGCGUAAUUCUUUUGAGUAGUGUCAAGGGUUUUGCUAGCAUAAUGGAUAACAUUCAAUUUCUUAUCAACCCUUUGUCCUAACACAGCUCCCACAUCAAAAUCACUAGCAUCACACAUGAUUUCAAAAGGCAAAUUCCAAUCAGGUGGUUGGACUAUAGGGGCAAUUAUCAAGGUUUUCUUAAGAACUUCGAAGGCUUCCUUACAAUCUUCAUCAAACACAAAAGGAAUAUCCUUCUGGAGAAGAUUAGUGAGGGCUUUCGAAGUUUUAGAAAAGUAUUUAACAAAUCUCCUAUAGAAACCAUCAUAGCCGAGGAAAUUACGAAUGCCUCUGAUGUCUUUUGGAUAAGGCAUUCUCUUGAUUGCUUCCACCUUUGCCAUGUCCACCUCGAUUCCUUUUUUCAGAAAUCUUGUGUCCAAGAACAAUUCCCUCAUUGACCAUGAAGUCGCACUUCUCCCAGUUGAGUACCAAUUUCGUCUCCUCACAUCUCUGCAAAAAUUUAUUAAGGUUGUGGAGACAAUGGUCAAAAGAGGUUCCAUAGAUGGAGAAAUCGUCCAUGAAGACCUCCACAGUUUCCUCACAAAAACCAUGAAAGAUAGCGGACAUACACCUUUGAAAAGUAGCAGGAGCAUUGCAUAAACCAAAAGGCAUACGUCUAUAAGCAUAAGUACCAAAGGGACAAGUAAAAGUGGUCUUCUCUUGAUCAACAGUGUUAAUAUGAAUUUGAGAGAAGCUAGAGUACCCAUCAAGAUAGCAAAAGUGAGUGUUUCUGGAUAACCUUUCAAGCAUUUGGUCGAUGAAGGGAAGCGGGUAGUGGUCUUUCCUGGUUGUCUUGUUCAGCUUCCUGUAAUCAAUACACAUUCUAUAUCCAAUAAUAAUUCUUUGAGGUAUUAGUUCAUUCUUCUCAUCAGGAACCACAGUCGUACCUCCUUUCUUGGGAACACAAUGUACUGGACUUACCCACUUACUAUCAGCUAUAGGGUAGAUAAUACCUGCAGCUAGGAGCUUGAGGAUUUCGGUCCUCACAACAUCCCUCAUCUUCGGGUUCAACCAUCGUUGAUGAUCAACAAACGGUUUAGCAUCAGGCUCAAGAUUGAUAGUAUGCUGACAAAUAGAUGGACUAAUCCCCUUAAGAUCAUCAAGGGUAUAACCAAUAGCGCCUCGGUGUUUGCGAAGGACUUCCAAUCAUCGCUCUUCCUCAUAUCCUGAGAGGUUAGAAUUGAUAAUAACAAGAUAUACUUUAUUUUCAUCUAGAUAAGCAUACUUAAGCAUACUGGGAAGAGGUUUAAGGUCAAACACCGGGUCUUCUUUUGGUUUCGAUAAAAUUCCCAAAGGAUCAACCAGAAGGUUGUGCUUCAUGAUAGCAGGUUGUCUCAAGAAUAUGUCAUCUAGCUCAUUCCUUUCCUGCAUAUGGAUAUCAUUCUCGUGGUUCUCCAUAAAUUGCUGCAAAAGAUCGUUAGGAGGAAUAGCAAUAGAAGCAAUCUCUUCAAUAAUUUUAUCAUUACUAGGUAGAUCAGUACCACGAGUUUGCUUUGAGAAUUUAGAAAUUUUAAAUUCAUAUGGCUCGCCAUUAAAUUCAACAGCUACUUUUCCUUUCCUACAAUCUAUAAUAGCUCCACAAGUUUUGAGAAAAGGCCUACCAAAGAUAAUAGGGCAAAAACUAUCUUGUACUGAACCAAGUACUAGAAAGUCCGUAGGAUAUUUUACCUUUCCACAUAGAACUUCAGCAUGUCGCACAAUUCCAAUAGGAGAGAUAGUUUCUUUGUUUGCAAGAUGAAUAGUAAGAUCAACUUCUUCAAUUUUACAUGGUAUAAUUUCAUUCAUGAUCUCUUCAUAAAGUGAAAAAGGAAUAACACUAGCACUGGAUCCCAAAUCACAUAGCCCAUAAUAAUUACGAUCUCCUAUUGUAACAGAUACAACAGGAGUACCUGAAAUUGGGCCUUUAUUCUUGGCUGUAACAAGAUUAGUAGAAACAACACAAAAAUUUAUAUUGGUAUCCUCAAUAUUACUAGUAACAAGAUCCUUGACUAAUGAAACUUGAGGAUCUACUUUAAUCAGGUCCUCAUGCUCAUCAGCCGUUCUUUCACUUUUAUUGGGAUGCGUGUGACAAAAGAAUGCUCCCUCAUCCCUGUGGGAAAAGGGGGCGUUUCAUAUUCAACUGCAGGCAAGACAGGGUCAACAACAUUAAUAUCACUGGGUAAUUCCUUAAAAGGUUUAUGGUGUUGAUGCUCCUUCUUCUUAGAAGAGUCAAUAUGAGAGGCGAAGUCUUUGCAAAAAUCAAUUAGAAGCUGGGAAUUAAGACCAAUCUUAGCACAAAAGGUACUGAAGUAAUUAGUUUUCACAUAGCUCUCAAUGUAAUCACGCUCAUAAUUUAUAACGGGUUCAAUACCUUUAUCAAUCUCCCAGUCUUCAGUGUUCUUCUGGAUCCUUUCAAUAAGAUCCCACUUAGCUUCAGUGCUUUUGUGGGAGAACGCCCCACUAGAGGAAGCAUCAAGCAUCUCUUUAUCUUGACGAGAAAGCCUUGCAUAAAAAAUUGUAAGAAUAAUUUCUUUGGAGAGCUCAUGAUUGGGACAUUUGAGCAUUAUGGACUUCAAUCUCCCCCAAGCUUGAGCGAUGCUUUCUACGUCACGAGACCAAAAGUUAUAAAUAUAAUUCCGGUCUCGAUGUAUUUCAUGAAGAGGAUAAAACUUUGCAUAAAAGAGAGGCAUAAGGUCUUGCCAAUUUAGUAAAUGAGAGUCAUCAAGAAGCCUAUACCAAUCCAAAGCCUUAUAUUUCAAUGAUAGAGAGAUUAGCUUUCUCAUAACAAAAUCCAUCGAUAUACCUGCAAGCUUAAAUAAGGAGCAUAGUUGUGAAAGAUAUAGCAAGUGUUCACCUAGAUGUCUAUCUCCUGCAUAUCGAUUAGCCCAAACACGAUCAAUAAUACUAGUUGGUAUUUUAAAAAGGCACAAUUUCAGUACGUGGGGGAGGCUUCUCCACCACAAUAGCGUUGGGUCGGUUCCCCACAAGCAACAAACCAAGAGAAGAGUGGUCCAUAGGGACAAAAAACAAGAAUAGUAAAACAAAAACAGCAUGUACAGUGUAAAGAUUUCCUUACCAAUAGCGCUACACUCCCUCGCAACGGCACCAGAAAAUGGUCUUGAUGACCCACAAGUGUAGGGGAUCUAUCAUAGCCUUUUCGAUAAGUAAGAGUGUCGAAUCCAACAAGGAGCAGAUGGUAUUGACAAGUGAUCUUGAGCAAGGAAUAACUGCAUGUACUGAAAGGUAACUUUUUAUGGGUUUUCUAGUAUAAGCAACAAGGAAAUAAAUGAAAGUAAAGUAAAUCGUGCCAAGGUGCAGAAAGUGGCCCAAUCCUUUUAAACACAAAGGAUAAGCCAAGAGACCGAACUUAUAAAGACUAAGGCGUUCCUGAGGACACACGGGAGAGAUAGUCAAGUGCUUUCGCCAUACUUUGUCUAGUACUAUGUUUUGUAUUGAUAAGUGUUAUGUGGGUGGAUCUUAACUAGUGCACCGUCUAGGCUAAGACAAGUACACACUUAUGAUUAAUCCCUCUUGCAAGAAUCCACAAAUGCAAGAGAGAAAUUAAGGCAAAGCCUAACCAUAGCAAUAAGCUUUAGGAUCCAAUACUCCCUCAUGCAAAAGUAUGCAAACUGGGGUUCAGGUUUGUGUCACUCCGGCAACCCACCAUAAGCAUUAUUCAUACACAAUGUGUUCCCCUAGGCCCUUAAAAAGGUGAAGUGUUAUGUAGUCCACGUUCACAUAAUACCACUAGAAGAAUAAAACCAUAACUUAAAUAUCAAUCAACACAUAUUACUUCAACAUCAUAUGACAACUAGCAUCUAGACUUUUCCCAUGUCCUCAAGAACUGUCGAAACUACUCACAAGACAUACAAGAGAUCAUGAUAGGAGGUGAUGAAAAUAUGAUUAAAAAUCUGGUCAUAACAAUAAUUCUCCAACAAAACUCAAUAGCAUUCACCACAAAAGAGUAAUCAACACCGGUAGAGUAGAGGGGAUGAAUAGUGCAAGGUACAACUCCGAUUGCAAUGGUGAAGUAGAUGGGAUGAAGGUGGAGAUGGUGCUGGUGUUGGUGAUGAUGGUGAUGAUGAUCUCGAUGAUGCCCGGGAAGAUGGUGAUGACGAUGAUGACGACCUCCCCUUCCGGGAGGCCUUCUCCCUGUGACAGCCCGAGACAGAUGCUCCAGAAGAUUCCCCUCUUUUCCGUUGCUGUCGUGUGAUUAUUUUAAUUGUCGCAUGAUCAUCGCAUCAUUUGCAUCAUCCGCAUUGCAUCGGCAUCCGUUGCCGCCAGUUUUCAAAACCUAGCAUCCGUUAUUAGUUGUCGGUUCUCUCCUUUCUCGUCAUUGUCCGUUCUGAGCCCGACCACACUCGCACGAGCCCGCGGCAUCAUUAAAUCAUGUUUUUGAAUGUGUGUAUAAAAUUCAUCUGAAUGGGUUGAAACUUGACAUGCGGUCUUAACUAGUUGUAGCUAGCCGCCUAUCAAAUUUCGUCGCAAUCGGAGUCCGUCUCGUACCCGAACUGUCGACCGUAGCGGCACCGUAUUCGGUCUAUUGUCGGACGUUUUAUCGGUGUUUGAAAAUACAUUGCCGGGUGCCCGUUCUUCCUCUCAUCUCCGGCUAACCUACUCUACACGGCCACUUAGCCCAUCCCGCGUUCGAGAUCGUUUGAUUCCGAUCGUACGGUUGAAACCGGGGCGAAAUUCUGCUAAACCUAGCCCCCCCAUUGUUAUAAAUAAACCCCCAUGCCAUUAUUUAGACAACCACUCUCUCUCCCUCGUUUUCCGUGCAAACCCUAGCCUCCCACCUCUCUCUCCUCCUCAGCCGUCGGGCCCACCAUAGCCCAUCUGGGGCCCGCCCCGGCCCGGAUCGCGCCGCCCCCCCAGCGGGCCCUCCUUCUGCCCGAGCGCCUCCCUGCAGCUGACCUUGCCGCGCGCCACCGCCCGCCAGUCGUCGCGCUGCCCGCGAGCUCCUUGCGCCGCAGGCCAGAUCCGGCCAGCCGCCGCCGGAUCCGGUCGCCUGCACCUUCCGCCGCCGCCUGCCCCUGGCCGAGGCCACCGCCGCGCCCCAACGCCCAGCCUGGCUCCCGCAUGUAGCCCCUGCUCCCGCACUCCCCUAGCCGCGCCGCCCUCUGCCCUUCGUCGCACCACCUCUCAACGCCCCAGCCGACCGGAUCUGCUGCCCCUCGCGCUGUGGAGCUUCCUCGUCGGCCGGAUCCGGUCCGGGAAGCCGCAUGUCUGCCGCCUUGCGCGCCGGCGCCGCCAGGUCCCCGUGACCUCGGGCACGGGAGGAGACUACGAGCAAGCCUCGCUCGUCCUACCGCUCGGUGCCGUGUGGGCCGCCUCGCACCCCAGGCGCAGCUGGCCGCGCCAGCGCCGCACCGGCCUGCAAGGCCUCGUGGCCCAUCUCCAAGCGCCACCCUCGGCCCAAGGAGAGGCCUCCCCUCGUUUAUCCCUCGCUCGAGCGAGGUUUAGUUAAAUCGCGCCAUGCCUCUGUUUGGGCCGUGUUGCAAAUCGGCCCGUAGAUGUUUUCUUUUAAAAGGCUGAGAUUUUUUUUCCACAUAAAUAGCUGAUUUUACAGCGCGUGUAGUUUAUUAUCCGUGCGUCGGAUCAGAACGAAUUAUAUAUGAAUCUUGUGUAGUUUUUCGCGUAGAUUCAUAAUUAGCAACUUGCAUGCAUGUUUGAAUUAGUUUGACUUGCCGAAUGCCUAGUUUUGCGUGCUUUCCUAAUAGGGACUUACCGCGUAUUAAUUUUCGUGCGUGUCCGGAUUGCUCAAAUCUCGUAGUUUAAAUGCUCAUGUUUUUAGGGACCUUUUGCCAUGUAUUUUAGAGUAGUUGUUUGUAUUUUUGCAUGUAGGGUUACGUCGCUAGUUUGCUACAUCAUGUUUAGGACAUCUUCUCGCAUAUUCGUGUGGCGAUAUUAUUAUUUUGCAACCCCACAUGUUAUAUAUGUUUUCGGGGUAGAAAAAUCCAUAGAAUUUAACUGUGUAUUUAGUUUUAGCUUUUUAGCAAGUUAGUGCGCGUGAUAUUUUGCCAUGUUGCCAUUUUAUUUAUUUUGUGUGAUUUAAUCCGUGCAUGAUUUGAAUGAGUUGUCAACUAGAGAUUUGUCCUUGGAUAUGUAUGCUAGCCCCUGGUAAUUUUGGCUGCAAUGGAAAUCCAUGUUUAGGUGUAGUUUGCUUGUUCUAAACUUGCUAGAAAAUAAUGCUAAUUUGGAGAAGCUGAAAUAUUUCUAAGUCUGAAAUCUAUUAUAUUUUGUUGCUGUCUUGUCAUGAGUUUAUCUGGUGAUCUGUAGCUCUUCUGAGAUUGAUGCAAUGGAGUUAGUUGUAGCCCUUAAGAUUCUCCACCAUGCUGUCAAUUUUCAUGCCAUUUGGAGCCCUUUAGAAUAUGGUUUUGAUGCUGUCAAAAUGCCUUCAGAUCAAAAACUGCACUGUCAAAAACUGAUAUUUUCACUAAGUCUGGAACUGUGUGUGAGAAGCCAUUUUGCGAGUUCCUUUCCUAGUGAUCCAUGCUUCCUUGGUAGGUGUUAUUAGUUGUAUGUUGUAGUGCUUCUUGCCCUCUACUGUCUCAUGCCUUGUUUGAGCAUUUGAGUUUUGUGUAGCUAGUUGUUCGAGGGUGUAGAAAAUGUUAUGUGGCUGAUUUUGGCAGAUUAUGUCUAUUUCUUGUGUAGCUUGUAAUUGUUGAACCGUUGCUCCGUUUUGAUCGUGUCCUACAUGAAACUUGCUCAGAAUCUUUUUUAGUUUCAUAUUAGCUCGCUGGUUGUAUGUUUUGAAGUGUUGUGGCUGCCAUUUGCACACAUAUCGCAUUCAUGCCAUCAUAUCUUGCGGUGUUCGUAUCUUUUGAACCGAAGAUCCGUUGGAGAUGUUCUCUAUGUGUAAAUUGAUUGGAACAACGCGUUGAAUCACUUGAACCUAUUUAUUUUUCUGUUUAACAAACAUUUAAACGUGUGAGAUCAGAUCUGGACAGAAUUACAAAUUAACAUAUGGGGUCAUCUCGGAGAUGUUAUAUGUUGUUUCCCACCUCAUUGCAAAUCACUAGAUAGAUAGCUUAAUUACGCUUCAUCUCGUGCCAUGUUUAAGCAAAUUUAAUAAUGUCGUGUACCUAAUCGCGAUAGAACUAAAUAAUCAGUAUGUGGAGUUUCAUCAAUAUGCAACUCGUUGCAUAUUGAACUUCACUUAAUGUGUAGUGUUUGAUUGUUGAGAAUUGCCAUGUCAUGUCUUCAAUAUAUAUUCAACUGGUCAUGCAUCAUAUGUGGAUUGCAUCUUGUCGUGCAUGUGCAUGGUGAAUAUCGUGCGCUGAUUCUUGUUUCCGGUUUGCUUCGUCUCGAUAGAGUUCCGCAAGCAUGUCGGAAAGUGAGGACCCAUUCGACUACAUCGGUUCGUCUGCUUCACGGACUCAUUCUUCUUCCAAGCGGGUUCUCAGGCAAGAUGACCAUUUCCCCAGAUACCAUUACUAUCAUUACCAUGCUAGUAUUAUCGUUUUUGUCGCUAUGUCUCGUUGCCUACCACAUGUUAAAUAUCAACCUCCCAACAUUGCCAUGAAAACCUUCAACAUGUUCACAACCUAGCAAACCACUGAUUGGCUAUGUUACCGCUUGCUUAACCAUGUGUUAGCAUUGCUAGUUGCAGGCGCAGUUGCUUCCAUGUGAUAACAUGGGUUCUUUGUUUUAUCAUCUUAUUAAUUCUAUUUGAUUUAAAGAAAAUAUAUACUUGGUAAAAGGUGGAAGGCUCGGCCUUUCUAGCCUGGUGUUUUGUUCCACCUUUGCCCCCUUAGUUUCGGCUACCGGUGUUAUGUUCCAUAAUUGAGCGCUCCUAACAUGAUAGGGGUUGUUAUGGGGACCCCCUUGAUAAUUCGUUUUAGAUUAAGACCGGUCUGGAAAGGCCCAACAUUGGUUUUACAUUGGCCUAAUAACCUAAUAAAAUUGCAUAGGGACUUUCCGGACCCCGAGGAUAAUUAAUCAACCCCCGGGCCAGUGCUCCGCAUGAGUGUUGGUCCAAACUGGCAGACUACGGGGCCACCGCGGGGCAACCCGAGGUUUGGUUUCUCUUAGUGUGACCCAUCCGUCGUGUCCUGAGAACGUGAUACGAAGCUCCUAUCGGGUUCGUCGACACGUCGGGCGGCCUUGCUGGAUUAGUUUUACCUUUGACGGAAUAUCUUGUGCAUCGGGAUUCCGGUUAGUUGAGGUUUUCCACUAAGGAGUCCGACGAGAUCGCGAGCUUCGUGAUCGAGGAUUUCUAUGCGCCUUGUGGUAAUUUAUGAUGGACUAGUUGGAGCACCCCUGCAGGGUUAAUCCUUUCAGAAAGCCGUGCCCGCGGUUAUGUGGCAACGUGGAAACUUUGUUUAACACUGGUUCUAGAUAACUUGAAGUUAACUUAAUUAAAAUAUGCCAACUGAGUGCGUAACCGUGACUGUCUCUUUUGUUAGCUCCUUCUCCGAUCGAGGACACGGUGGGGGUAUGUUUGACGUAAGUAGGUGUUCAGGAUCAUUCAUUUGAUCAUCAGUAGUUCACGUUCUCUAUGCGUAGAUCACACCCCUCUGUAUUCUGGUACUCGUAAGUUAGCCACAUCAAACAAAUGCUUAGUUGCUUGCCGCAGCCUCACCACUUAACCAUACCUCACCCAUUAAGCUUUACUAGUCUUGAUACCUUUGGAAUGAGAUUGUUGAGUCCCAUGUGGCUCACAAAUUACUACAACACUAGUUGCAGGUACAGGUAAAGGUUACUUGACGCGAGCGCGUUGAUUGUUCAUUUGGAGUU